Molecule: long non-coding RNA, 57567 nt
Filed under: Lactuca sativa (garden lettuce)
Lineage: Eukaryota; Viridiplantae; Streptophyta; Magnoliopsida; Asterales; Asteraceae
Description: long non-coding RNA (LSAT_LNC004996)
Source: RNAcentral
AUAGCAAAACAACUUUUUCCCAAUUGAAACUUUUGUUUUCUAUAAUUAACAUUGCUAACUUGCAAUACUUAUCAUAAUUAUCAUGCUCCCACUAACAUGAUGAUUAUUAGCAUAACACUUAUGCUCCCACUAGCUUUGACAUGUACUCAGAAAUCAGCUGGACUUCUAGAAAUCAAUACUUCAUUGACUUUCUUACCAAAGUUCAGAUUUCUGAUGCUAGAUUGUUUUGAUAAAACUUUAUCAAAAUCAUACACCUUCCCUUAGAUAGCACACUUGUGUGUCUAAACAAUUAUGAAGAGGUAUGCCGUAAUCAUAAUGGUUAGACCUUUUUGCCACUUCUCACAAGUCCAGGUUAGUGUGCCGGUAAACCACACACGCUCCACUAACGACUUUGAGAAUGCAAAUAUCACAAUUGCUAUCUAGCUAAAAUCUACUUAGUGAAAGUGUUUCCUCACCAUCAUUUUCAUGAAUCGGAGAGAAACCUUAUGACACUUAGAUUUAAUGGUGUAUGUGUUCUUAUCCAUGUGAAUUGUCAAAACCAUAGUCACAAGACAAGGAUAAUGACAAAUCCAAACUCAUAUGGACUGAACUCAAUCUUAAUUUCUUGCCACCUGGCAGCUCAAGGGCCUGCCAUUGCUUCCAAGUUGUUGUGCAACAAAUUGAGAACUCUAAGAACUCAUAUGCAAAGCCAACUUUAACUGGAAUGGGCACAGAAUAUGUCAACACGAUAGGUUAUGAACCUCAAGUCGUGUGCUAGUGAAGAACUUCAGGUUUUAUUCUUGAUUAGUUCUUGAGACUUUCAAGACCUUUAAGACUCCCACUGUCCUCUUGACAUAUAAGACUCCCUUGUCAAACAUCCAAGAGAUAGUGCGGAUUCUAAUCAAGAAAAACACUUUACCCAAUUGGCCUAAGUUGGUCUUUGUUUUAUCCAAAACAUCACAACUUACCAAUUUCAAAUGUACAAGAGUAGAAAACUUUUACUCUUACAUUUGACAAGUGUUUUAAACCUUCUUUAAGACAUGUCACUCAAAUGACAAUCUUGGAGUAUGACUCUAAGACUUGUAUUGGAACGAAGUAUGACUCAUCUUCUUGAUUUAACCAUUUCAACAAUUCAAGUUCCUCUUCUUAGUCAUAAGAAUGCACUAAGAUUUCCUUAGAGAACUAAUUUUGAUAUGGUUUCUUAAUCAUUAAGAUGAUCACAAAACUGAUACUAAAGUACUCUCCCAUCUUUUCAGAUUUGAGAAACUUUUAUCCUUCUGCCUUAUUUGAUUCUUCUUAUCGAUCUUUAGUGGUGGACUUAAUCAGUGCACAAGAAUGUGUACUCGAUCCCUAAGUCCUUUACUUGACUCACACAUCCAUGUGAACAAGUAAUUAGUCUUAAUUUUCCAAAACUUGAAAGUUCUCAUUCAUCAUGCUAUACAACUUGCAUGAUUCCAAGUUCCGGUCCAAUUGAAACUUGGGUGAUGAGAAUCUUUCCUUAUUUGGUAAAUUUAGACAUUACCACAAAUGAAAGAAUCAAUUUCAUACUUCCACUCUUGCUACUAAUGGAAUCUUAUAAGCAACAAAAAUUUCCACAGAUGCCAUUGUAAGGAUAUUUUAAAAUAAAUAAAAUCAAAAAUUUCCUUUUAUUUUAAAACUUUGCGGAAAAACUAUCCUUACAAUCCAUAUGAAAACUUGUUGUUAUCUAUUCCUAAGCAAUAUCUCAUAACUCCUAAGAAGUAGCUCAAGAAUCCGAUUUUUCAAACUAUGCGAUAGAAAUCCAUCUAUGCGAUCAGAUUCAGCAUAUUCUUCCUUUAAGUUUCUUCACUUUCCUUUGAUUCUUAAACCAUCACCAUGCGACCCGGUCACAUCAUGUAUCAAGAAUCUCAGAAUAGAAACUUAACAGAGUUAGAUAGUGGAUUUUACCUGAAGUAGAGUCAAACUUAUUGACUUUAACAUCCUUAGGUAAAUUUGGCAGCUUCGCAACCAAUGCCCUUUCUUUGGCAAUACAAACAUAUGGACCCUUUGAUAAUGGUACACAGGACUAUCACAGACUUAGCUUUUCUCUUUACCAUUUGGUCAACCGAGUUGACUAUAGCCGAUCCCUUUCCAUUGGGAAGAGAAUGCUUUACUGGAUAUCCAAUGUCAUCAUUGUCAAUGUCCAUAAAGUUUUAGGAAGUUGAUCUUAACAAAUAGAUAAGAUCAUUAAGGGUCUUGUCAUAGUCUUUUUCAUAGGUGUUCCAAAAGAACUCACUAUGUGACUUAGAAAGUAGUUGAACCACCAACUUUCUCAAGACUUUGACACCCAACUCUCCCGGCUUGUCAAUAUGUGACUACAUCUCCAAGAUGUGACCACACCUAGACCUUGCCUUGCCAAAAGGGCCUGAGUGACCUUAAACUUUUCAAGAACUUGUGGGUUAGGGAGAAUAAUUUGAAGAGGUGAAGAAGUAUGAUAUCCAUGGGACAUCAUCUUCAUUAGGAAACCUUGUUUCAAGAGAUUUGGGAAGAUCAUAGGUGUCUAAACCAGACAUCUUUUGGGAGAUAUUCAAGAUAGUUGAUUUAAAGUCCUUAAUAUGACACCCAAUAUGAAAUAUUAAGGCUAGGACCCAACAAACUAUUUUAUAACUUAGAAGAGGUAUGCCGUAAUCCAAGCUAUAAAAUAUUUGAAGGUAGGUGAAUGACGAUUCACCAAUUUCCACCAAGAUAAACGAAAUGUAUUAUUAGGUUUUAAUUGGUUUUGAAACUCCUAGAUCUUUGAGAUUCAUUGAACUUUUCAAAGGCAUGUUUCAAUCUCGAGUGUGCCCUUCAGGUUUUGUGACUGGGAUGCCGAGGAUCACAAAACAAGGUGUGAAGUAACCAUGCAAAUCACUUGGUACCCUUAAUAAAUUACCCCUCAAUCGAUGUGCCGGUUAACCACACACGCUCCAUCGAUACUAUGAUAAAUAUUAAGUCACCCUUUACCUACCUUGUUAAGUCCAAGUUAGUGUGCCGGUUAACCACACACGCUCCACUAACGACUUAGACAAAGUGUAAAGUGUAAUUUCAUGGAUUAGCACCUUAUUCACAUUUUUCCUAAGUAACUAAGAUUGGGUAUUAUUAAGAGUUUAGUUACUUAGUAUUAUCAUUAAUACUUUUAAUGAAGGGAGAAUUCUAGUCCUGUCAAACCCGUUCGGCUAACGACCCUCCACCAGUCAAGCAAGCGGUGGGUGAGAGUGGACACCCAUUAAGUUGCCAUUUUAUAGGCAACAACCUUAUACCCACCUUAUAGACCGGCUUCGUGAAUGAGGCGUACUAGCGGUAAGACUGACUUUACUCUUAUACAUAUAUAUAUUAUUAACUUAUAAUAUUAUAAAGUAUAAGGGUUGAAUUUUAACUUUUAAAAUUCUAAGGGCUAACUUGGAAUUAAAGUAUUCAUAAGUGAAAACUUUACAAAUUCCAAAACUUGAGGGCAAGUUUUGAAACUAUUCAAAACUAAUUAAUUCCAUAACUUAUGUGUUUAAAGUAGUUUUAAUCCAAAAACUCUUCAAGUUCCAUAACUUGAGGACAAGUUAUGGAAGACUUUAAACUAAUAAAAGAAUUAACUUUUCUUUAUUUUAUAACUUAUGGAAUUAAUUAAGGUUACACUUUUUUUUUUUUUAUUUUAUUUUAUUAAAUGAAGAGACUCUUGGUCCUCCAUAACUUGAGGACAAGUUAUGGAGUCAUAAAACCAUUUAAUUAGAACUAGACUCUUCAUUUUUGUAACCUUUGCCAAUUUUUAUGAGUUUUAUGAUUCUUAAAUGUGACUUUUCAUAUAACUUGAGGACAAGUUACAAAAACACAUUUUAGAAUCAAUUCUUAGAUUAAUUUGGAUUAAAACCAACUAUCACAUAAUUUUAUUCAUUAAUCUAAAUUCACUCAUAAAACAAGGUAACACAAAAAACUUUUGGUGAUCCAUAACUUAUUCUUAAGUUAUGGAAUCCUUUAAAACAUUAACACCAAAUUUUGUAACUCCAAAAAAACUUUGAAUCAAUUUUUUUUUUAAAACCUUUUCAUAUCCAUAACUUAUGGAGGUUUCAAAAAAUAAAACUCUUUAGAUCAAACUUUUAAAACUAAUAAAAUAAUCAUAUUAUUUUAUCUUUUAUUAAAUUUGACCUAAUUCAACUCAUAAAGCAAAUUAUUCAAAUUUUACAAAUAAUUAGUUUUUCACAAGAACAAGUAAUUAUCUUAAAAUUUGACAAACUUCAUGUUUUUUUUUUUUUUUUUUUUCAACUUUGAAAAUAAAAUAUUUGCAUCAAUAUAACAGAAAACAACCCGUGGCUCUGAUACCACUGUUGGGUUUUGAGCAUUCUAACACUUCCUAAGUGUACAUGCAACCCUAAAUACCUUGGAUCUAUGUUUUCUCUAUUAUACAUGCAAAUAAGAACUUCCAAGGUAUUAUCCUAAUCUAGCAUACAAAACAAUAACUAUAGCAAGAUAGAAUACAUACCUCUUUGGUGUAGAAAGUCUUCAUGAAGCUUGAGUGCCUAGUGCCCCAAGUGUGACACCUCAAAUGGAAUCACAAUCAUCAAAACACUUAGAAUGACUUGAGAGAAUUCUACACUCAUCAAAAUCGGCUAGCCCUUUCUUCACUAUCUCUAGUGGCCGAUUUUUCCUCAAUAAUAAGAUGCUUAUAUAGUUACACAAUUAGGGUAAACUCUUAAUUGUCAUGGCUUUCCAUUUCCUUGGAUCCAUGGGUACAAAUACACCAUGGAGCAUCCAUGGACCAUCCUAUGGGUUUUAGCCCAACUUGAUUAUCCAUGGAGCAUUAGCCCACUAUACAAGUAUGGAUGAUUUACACAAUCAACCCAUAUAUUUAAUUAGUCUUCUUUUGAUCACUUAAUUAAUCCUAGAUUAAUUCUUGAUCAAUACUAAUUAAAUAAUCUCAUUAUUCUUAUUAUUAAUAUACUAGAACUUAUAAUAUAUUAAUAACCAUAAGUGUCUUAUUUCUCUCAUUUAGUCUAUCCAAGUGCAUGAUGGUAUGCAACCCAAAUGGACCAUGCCGGGUCGGGUCAAGUCUUACCAAUUAUAGUUAUGGACUUGGACAUUAAUCCAACAGCCCUAACCUUUGUUGGGCACGUAUUGAGGGAGUAAUCCCUGAAUCAAUACUGUCUAUGUGAUGUAGGCGAUGAUCCUUAGGGAUAGUCCUUAGGAACAAACAUAUAAGGAAAUGCGAUGUAAGGAGAUGAGAGGUAAAUAUGAUAUAGGAGAUGACCCUUAGGAUAAAUCCUUAGGGAAGGUACUUAGGAAUAAAGAAGAUAAUGGGGAUGGGUAAUUGGGUUAAUUGUUUGAUGAUUAAACAUAAUAAUUAUAUUAUUAUAGGUUGAAAACCCUAUGUACUCACCAGGUUUCCCAACUUGGCCCACUCAGUUUACUUGUAUCACAGGCGACGAGGUGAAGUUACAUUACACUGAGAGAUUAAGGAGAUGUAAAUCACUAGUGAUAAUGAAUGUAAGUUCUGUUUAUGCUUAUGUUUAUGUAUUGACGAUGACAUCACAAAUGUUUUAAAAUGAAUAAAAAUACAUUUCCUCGGAAAUGCUAUGAUAACGUAUUUAUCAUGUUUUACUGAGAACAAAUUCCGCAACCUUUUGAUUAAAAGAGAUACUCUGAUUUUUAUAAAGCAUAAACAAAAUCGGUCUUUUCUGGCUGUGAAAAUGGGGAUGUCACAUUUGCAGUUCUCACGACGGGAGAACUAUAAUCUCAUGACGUGAGAUUGAUUAUUCUAAAAGAUAAUUAUGUAGAGAUCAACUUUCCUUGUUGAAUACGGAGUUCUACUGAUCUCACGACGUGAUACCCUAAUUCACACGACGUGAGAUGUGAUUUAAGGAAAGUAUAAAUAAUCCUUUACAUAUUCGAUUUUAGAGAGUUAGAUUAGAUAUUAUGGUUAGAUAAUCGAGUUUAGAGGUCAGAUAAGUGCUAAAAACAUCUAUUGGAAGAGGAUAUCGUUUGAAGAUUGUAGAUUUGAAGAUCACACAUCAUAUCCGGGUUGCAUUGAUUUAAUCAUGUCUAAUUCUUAUGUUUUGUGUGCUUAUUUUAUGCCAUGAGUAGCUAAAUCAUUAGGCUUUCAUUUAGUAUAGAUGAACCCUAAUACUAUAAGUUAGUUUCUUAUUUAUCUAUGGAUUUUAUGAAGUUGGUUCAUGAUUGUGUUUGAUUAUCAUUACCUAAAAUGUUAAAGUCUACAUAUUUGUUGCUUUGAUUCAAGUUAAGUGUAAUUUAAUGACCAUUUGAAUUGCAUGCACUUGUUUCCAUAGUAGUUUAUGAUUAUUAAAUUGCUAGAGCUAGGAUUAAUCAAAUCUUAGAUUAGGUAAUAAAGGUAACAACUUUAGCUGUGUUAGAGAACAUAAUUUGAUCAUGAUUGUGUUUAAUUAAUUGUCUUCAUCAUAGAUAAUUAUCUUAGAUAUACCUUAUGUAACCAAAUUAUAUUUAAUAAUCAAUUUUGUGUUUGCUUGUGUAUGAUCAUUACAUAGUAGUUCAUGAAUUGGUGAAAAUAUUAGGAGAUCGGAUCAAGACUGCUAAUUACAUUAAUAUUGGUAACCAACUAAAUAAAUCCAUGAUUAAGAACUAACUAUAGGAAAAAAAGGGGGAUUCGAAGCUAAAUGGAAGUGUCUUCUUAAUCUUGUUUACAAUCAUUUUUAUUUCAGUAACUGAUUUACUUAAGUUAAUCUAAACUUCCAAAAUCAGAUAAAUCCCUUUUUAGUUAUUGUUUUUAUAUUAAUUUUUAGUAAUUAAAUUGUUAGCUAAAUACAUUCCCUAUGUCCGAUACCCAACUUACUUUACUAUACUAAAAACUAACUAGGUACACUGCCUAUAGGUGCAUUAGUAGAUAAGUAGUUAGGUUUAUAAGUUUAAAACUAGAUAGAUAUAUCUUUUGCACAUCAAGUUUUUGGCGUCGUUUCUGGGAAAACGUCUAUUUUAGUUUUUAAUUUAACUAUUUUAGGUUAAUCGAUCAUUUUUGUGGUGUAAAAACCGCAAAAAGUUAGUUUUCUGCAAAUAGUUAUUUUUUUGUUCGUUCGAUUCUCUCAACAUGAGGGACAUCUCUCACGAUGUGAGUUCAGUAGUUUUUAGUUUUUCCUUUUUUUGCUUUUAAUUUGUUUUUAGUUUUUGUUCCUUUUACGCGUGUUUUUCUAGUUUUUUUUAGUAGGAAAUAUGGGGGACAUAACGACAAUGACAAUGGAAGUGUACAAGCGGCAUAUGAGGAACGAAAACAAAUGGGGUCUUGAUCCACCAAAAAUCCCAACCACGAAAAAGUUUGAACUUCCGAGGCACAUUCUUGGCAUGCUGAAGGAACUACCUUUUUACUGGAAGGAGCACGAGGACUGAAGGGUCUAGGUAAUGGUUUGGUCUAGGCUUUCAUUGUAAUAAGUUAUUUUGAGUCUGUAUGCAGUUUUGGUAGGUUGGUUGGUAGUUUAAGUCCAAGUAGUGAGUUUACGGCUGUAAGCCUGUUUACGGCUGUAAACCCAGUGUCCGGGCCAAGUCCACUAUAUAUAGGGGUUAAGUAGGUCAUUAAUGGUUGUUGAUGCCACAAUGGUUCACGAUCAUAGGAGCAAGUUGUACCAGACAUUUUAUGCAAUAUAAGUGUGUGCAAGCUUGUUUCAAUUCUGUUUCUUCUUUGUUUCUCAUUAUAUUUGAUUGUGUGAUUGGUUGAUCAUUGGUAAAGAUCCUUUUUCUGGACCUUACAAUUGGUAUCAAAGCAGGAACCGGUGUCAAAGCAUCAUUCAAUCGAGUUUUCAGCCGUUUAAACUCAUAUUCUUUAGUGUUCGAGAUUAGGGUUUCGUGUUUUCAUAGCAAAGGGGGUCAAAUCUGCAUCGAACUUGCGUUUUCUGAGAUUUUUGGGAGUUUACUGCCAAAAGAUUACGACCGAAAACCUUGUUUACGGCCGUAAACUCAAGCACAUUCAAGAGGCAUAAAGUGUGUUCUUGAACCGUAAUCAGUGCUUCUUAAAUAACCGUAAUCAGUGCUUAUUAAAUAACCGUAAACUGCCUCACCGUAAAGACCCCAACCGUAAACACCGUUUACAGCCGUAAACACACUGACUGUAAACUCAAUCUUAGACAAUUUUUAUUUUUCUAAUUUUUAUGUUUUAAAAAUCAGAAUAAAUGGAUUCUCAAAGUCAAACACAUCAUCAUGAGUUGGAUUCUGUCAUGGGAACCACUACACGCAUUCCAAGACUGUUGUCUGCAGAUGGUUUUCCUUAAUUUCGAUACUGGAUAGAAAAGUACAUUAAAAUGAAGGACUUCAAGAUUUGGAGAAGCAUCAUCAACAAUCCCGUCAGAAUAACCACAGCUGUUGCAGGGCAAGUAGUUGACAAAGCUGUUGAAAAUUACACAGAUGAAGAUUUUGAGAAAGUGGAAGAACAGGAAAGGGCUCUGGCCACUCUAACCAUGGCACUAUCUCCUGAUAUAGCUCAAGGUUUCAGAGAGUAUACUUCAGCAAAAGCUUUGUGGGAAGCUUUGAGUGAGGUAUAUGAGGGUAAUGAGGACAUGAAGGAAAGCCGCCAAGAUAUGUUGCGACAAAGGUUUACACAUGUUCAACGACAUUCCUGGAGAAACCCUGGAGGCACAAAUGUAGCGAUUCACAACUCUCACCACUGAGAUGACUAUAGUUGGGAUCUUCUUGACCAAGUCUGAAGUAAAUAAAAAGCUACUGAAUGCUCUCCCAAGUUCAUGGGACAUGAAUGUGGUUGUCAUCAAGAAGACCAAGGAUCUAAAUUGCCUUACUCCUACUGGAAUGAUGGCGAUCAUCAAGGCUUGUGAUAUUGAUGAUAAACAGCGGGAGAUAAAUCAUGUGAAUUCGUAUUCAACUGCAAACCUUGGGAUUUCAUCUAACAAUGCUCUUUCAUCUCUCACAUUUCCCUCUUCAGGUCAACCUUUUGCUUCUCAGAAAGCUCAGACUCAAUCCUUUUCCACUUCAUCAGCUACUUCACUUCCUGCUACAUCAUCCAUGCCUUUCUCUCAGAACCAAUCAUUUGUUGCUUCUCAAGUUGCUUCUUCCUCAAAUGUGGCUUCUUCCUUAAAUGCUAAGGAGUGUGAUGAAAAUCGUGCUCUCGCCAUAGGACUUGUUAACUGCUACAAUGCUCUUGUAGCUGGAGAUCUUUCACCACAAUUUUCAUUUGCUGAUCUGGAUCAGAUUCAUCCAGAAGAUGUGGAAGAAAUGAAUAUUAAAUGGCAAAUUGCCAUGGUAGUGUUCAGGGCAAAGCGGAUUGCGAAGAAGACAGGGAAGAAUAACUGGGGGAUGAGCGUUGACAAAAAAGGUAGGGUUUAACAAAGGGAAGUUGUGUUGUUUCAACUGUCACGAGCCAGGUCAAUUUGCUAGUGAGUGCCCGAAGUCGGAUAGUGUUGGAUUAAUGUCUAAGUCCAUAACUAUAAUUGGUAAGACUUGACCCGACCCGGCAUGGUCCAUUUGGGUUGCAUACCAUCAUGCACUUGGAUAAACUAAAUGAGAGAAAUAAGACAUUUAUGGUUAUUAAUAUAUUAUAAGUUCUAGUAUAUUAAUAAUAAGAAUAAUGAGAUUAUUUAAUUAGUAUUGAUCAAGAAUUAAUCUAGGAUUAAUUAAGUGAUCAAAAGAAGACUAAUUAAAUAUAUGGGUUGAUUGUGUAAAUCAUCCAUACUUGUAUAGUAGGCUAAUGCUCCAUGGAUAAUCAAGUUGGGCUAAAACCCAUAGGAUGGUCCAUGGUGUAUUUGUACCCAUGGAUCCAAGGAAAUGGAAAGCCAUGACAAUUAAGAGUUUACCCUAAUUGUAACACUAUAUAAAGAUAUUAUUCUUGGCAAAAUCGGCCACUAGUAUUAUUCUAGAGAGGGCUAGCCGAUUUCAUGAAGUGUAGAAUUCUCUCAAGCUAUUCUAAGUGUUUUGAUGAUUGUGAUUCCAUUUGAGGUGUCACACUUGGGGCACUAGGCACUCAAGCUUCAUGAAGACUUUCUACAUCAAGAGGUAUGUAUUCUAUCUUGUUAAGUUAUUGUUUUGUAUGCUAGAUUAGGAUAAUACCUUGGAAGUUCUUAUUUGCAUGUAUAAUAGAGAAAACAUAGAUCCAAGGUAUUUAGGGUUGCAUGUACACUUAGGAAGUGUUAGAAUGCUCAAAACCCAACAGUGGUAUCAGAGCCACGGGUUGUUUUCUGUUAUAUUGAUGCAAAUAUUUUAUUUUCAAAGUUGAAAAAAAAAAAAAAAAAAAACAUGAAGUUUGUCAAAUUUUAAGAUAAUUACUUGUUCUUGUGAAAAACUAAUUAUUUGUAAAAUUUGAAUAAUUUGCUUUAUGAGUUGAAUUAGGUCAAAUUUAAUAAAAGAUAAAAUAAUAUGAUUAUUUUAUUAGUUUUAAAAGUUUGAUCUAAAGAGUUUUAUUUUUUGAAACCUCCAUAAGUUAUGGAUAUGAAAAGGUUUUAAAAAAAAAAUUGAUUCAAAGUUUUUUUGGAGUUACAAAAUUUGGUGUUAAUGUUUUAAAGGAUUCCAUAACUUAAGAAUAAGUUAUGGAUCACCAAAAGUUUUUUGUGUUACCUUGUUUUAUGAGUGAAUUUAGAUUAAUGAAUAAAAUUAUGUGAUAGUUGGUUUUAAUCCAAAUUAAUCUAAGAAUUGAUUCUAAAAUGUGUUUUUGUAACUUGUCCUCAAGUUAUAUGAAAAGUCACAUUUAAGAAUCAUAAAACUCAUAAAAAUUGGCAAAGGUUACAAAAAUGAAGAGUCUAGUUCUAAUUAAAUGGUUUUAUGACUCCAUAACUUGUCCUCAAGUUAUGGAGGACCAAGAGUCUCUUCAUUUAAUAAAAUAAAAUAAAAAAAAAAAAAGUGUAACCUUAAUUAAUUCCAUAAGUUAUAAAAUAAAGAAAAGUUAAUUCUUUUAUUAGUUUAAAGUCUUCCAUAACUUGUCCUCAAGUUAUGGAACUUGAAGAGUUUUUGGAUUAAAACUACUUUAAACACAUAAGUUAUGGAAUUAAUUAGUUUUGAAUAGUUUCAAAACUUGCCCUCAAGUUUUGGAAUUUGUAAAGUUUUCACUUAUGAAUACUUUAAUUCCAAGUUAGCCCUUAGAAUUUUAAAAGUUAAAAUUCAACCCUUAUACUUUAUAAUAUUAUAAGUUAAUAAUAUAUAUAUGUAUAAGAGUAAAGUCAGUCUUACCGCUAGUACGCCUCAUUCACGAAGCCGGUCUAUAAGGUGGGUAUAAGGUUGUUGCCUAUAAAAUGGCAACUUAAUGGGUGUCCACUCUCACCCACCGCUUGCUUGACUGGUGGAGGGUCGUUAGCCGAACGGGUUUGACAGGACUAGAAUUCUCCCUUCAUUAAAAGUAUUAAUGAUAAUACUAAGUAACUAAACUCUUAAUAAUACCCAAUCUUAGUUACUUAGGAAAAAUGUGAAUAAGGUGCUAAUCCAUGAAAUUACACUUUACACUUUGUCUAAGUCGUUAGUGGAGCGUGUGUGGUUAACCGGCACACUAACUUGGACUUAACAAGGUAGGUAAAGGGUGACUUAAUAUUUAUCAUAGUAUCGAUGGAGCGUGUGUGGUUAACCGGCACAUCGAUUGAGGGGUAAUUUAUUAAGGGUACCAAGUGAUUUGCAUGGUUACUUCACACCUUGUUUUGUGAUCCUCGGCAUCCCAGUCACAAAACCUGAAGGGCACACUCGAGAUUGAAACAUGCCUUUGAACAGUUCAAUGAAUCUCAAAGAUCUAGGAGUUUCAAAACCAAUUAAAACCUAAUAAUACAUUUCGUUUAUCUUGGUGGAAAUUGGUGAAUCGUCAUUCACCUACCUUCAAAUAUUUUAUAGCUUGGAUUACGGCAUACCUCUUCUAAGUUAUAAAAUAGUUUGUUGGGUCCUAGCCUUAAUAUUUCAUAUUGGGUGUCAUAUUAAGGACUUUAAAUCAACUAUCUUGAAUAUCUCCCAAAAGAUGUCUGGUUUAGACACCUAUGAUCUUCCCAAAUCUCUUGAAACAAGGUUUCCUAAUGAAGAUGAUGUCCCAUGGAUAUCAUACUUCUUUCUCCUCCUCCAAUUAUUCUCCCUAACCCACAAGUUCUUGAAAAGUUUAAGGUCACUCAAGCCCUAUUGGCAAGGCAAGGUCUAGGUGUGAUCACAUCUUGGAGAUGUAGUCACAUAUUGACAAGCCGGGAGAGUUGGGUGUCAAAGUCUUGAGAAAGUUGGUGGUUCAAUCACUUUCUAAGUCACAUAGUGAGUUCCUUUGGGACACCUAUGAAACAGACUAUGACAAGACCCUUAAUGAUCUUAUCUAUUUGCUAAGAUCAACUUCCUAAAACUUUAUGGACAUUGACAAUGAUGACAUUGGAUAUCCAGUAAAGCAUUCUCUUCCCAAUGGAAAGGGAUCGGCCAUAGUCAACUCGGUUGACCAAAUGGUAAAGAGAAAAGCUAAGUCUGUGAUAGUCUCGUGUACCAUUAUCAAAGGGUCCAUAUGUUUAUAUUGCCAAAGGAAGGGGCAUUGGUUGCGAAGCUGCCAAAUUUACCUAAGGAUGUUAAAGUCAAUAAGUUUGACUCUACUUCAGGUAAAGUCCACUAUCUAACUCUGUUAAGUUUCUAUUCUGAGAUUCCUGAUACAUGAUGUGACUGGGUCACAUGGUGAUGUUUUAAGAAUCAAAGAAAAGUGAAGAAACUUAAAGAAAGAAUAUGCUGAAUCUGAUGGCGUAGAUGGAUUUCUAUCGCAUAGUUUGAAGAUCGGAUUCUUGAGCAACUUCUUAGGAGUUAUGAGAUAUUGCUUAGGAAUAGAUAACAACAAGUUUUCAUAUGGAUUGUAAGGAUAAGUUUUUCCGCAAAGUUUUAAAAUAAAAGAAAAUUUUUGAUUUUAUUUAUUUUAAAAUAUCCUUACAAUGGCAUUUGAGGAAAAAUUGUUGCUUAUAUGAUUCCAUUAAUAGCAAGAGUGGAAAUAUGAAAUUGAUUCUUUCAUUUGUGGUAAUGUCUAGAUUUACCAAAUAAGGAAAGAUUCUCAUCACCCAAGUUUCAAUUGGACCGGAACUUGGAAUCAUGCAAGUUGUAUAGCAUGAUGAAUGAGAACUUUCAAGUUUUGGAAAAUUAAGACUAAUUACUCGGCCACAUGGAUGUGUGAGUCAAGUAAAGGACUAAGGGAUCGAGUACACAUUCUUGUGCACUGAUUAAGUCCACCACAAAAGAUUGAUAAGACUAUUCGUCAUAGUUUACUAAAGCUCAGUAAAUAUGAUUAUACUUACAAGCUUAAGUGUAACUCUGAGACAUUGGAAAAGGUUCCAAUGUAUGGCAGAGCGAAUAAGAAGAAUCAAAUUAGGCAGAAGGAUAAAAGUUUCUCAAAUCUGAAAAGAUGGGAGAGUACUUUAGUAUCAGUUUUGUGAUCAUCUUAAUGAUUAAGAAACCAUAUCAAAAUUAGUUCUCUAAGGAAAUCUUAGUGCAUUCUUAUGACUAAGAAGAGGAACUUGAAUUGUUGAAAUGGUUAAAUCAAGAAGAUGAGUCAUACUUCGUUCCAAUACAAGUCUUAGAGUCAUACUCCAAGAUUGUAAUUUGAGUGACAUGUCUUAAAGAAGGUUUAAAACACUUGUCAAAUGUAAGAGUAAAAGUUUUCUACUCUUGUACAUUUGAAAUUGGUAAGUUGUGAUGUUUUGGAUAAAACAAAGACCAACUUAGGCCAAUUGUGUGAAGUGUUUGUCUUGAUUAGAAUCCACACUAUCUCUUGGAUAUUUGACAAGGGAGUCUUAUAGGUCAAGAGGUCAGUGGGAGUCUUAAAAGUCUUGAAAGUCUCAAGAACUAAUCAAGAAUAAAACCUAAAGUUCUUCACUAGCACACAACUUGAGGUUCAUAACCUAUCGUGUUGACAUAUUCUGUGCCCAUUCCAGUUAAAGUUGGUUUUGCAUAUGAGUUCUUAGAGUUCUCAAUUUGUUGCACAACAACUUGGAAGCAAUGGUAGGCCCUUGAGCUGCCAGGUGGCAAGAAAUUAAGAUUGAGUUCAGUCCAUAUGAGUUUGGAUUUGUCAUUAUCCUUGUCUUGUGACUAUGGUUUUGACAAUUCACAUGGAUAAGAACACAUACACCAUUAAAUCUAAGUGUCAUAAGGUUUCUCUCCGAUUCAUGAAAAUGAUGGUGAGGAAACACUUUCACUAAGUAGAUUUUAGCUAGAUAGCAAUUGUGAUAUUUGCAUUCUCAAAGUCGUUAGUGGAGCGCGUGUGGUUAACCGGCACACUAAUUUGGACUUGUGAGAAGUGGCAAAAAGGUCUAAACAUUAUGAUUACGGCAUCCCUCUUCAUAAUUGUUUAGAUACACAAGUGUGCUAUCUAAGGGAAGGUGUAUGAUUUUGAUACAGCUUUAUCAAAACAAUCUAGCAUCAGAAAUCUGAACUUUGGUAAGAAAGUCAAUGAAGUAUUGAUUUCUAGAAGUCCAGCUGAUUUCUGAGUACAUGUCAAAGCUAGUGGGAGCAUAAGUGUUAUGCUAAUAAUCAUCAUGUUAGUGGGAGCAUGAUAAUUAUGAUAAGUAUUGCAAGUUAGCAAUGUUAAUUAUAGAAAACAAAAGUUUCAAUUGGGAAAAAGUUGUUUUGCUAUAAUUAAGGGAGAGGAAAUUAUACUUCAUCUCAAAUCUAUAAGCUUAGAUCGUGAGGUUUUAAUCAUUUAGUCAAGGAUAUAUAUGAAUUUCAUGUUGGAAUGGCUCAACAUAAGGAAAUUCUGUAUAUGGGUCCAUUAUUUGCGUUCUAAAAUUCGAUUAUGAUUACGGCAUCCCUUUUCAUAAUCUGAAUUAUGAGAACUUGGCAAAUUGAAAUGGAAAUAUUAUAGCAAAAGACUGGUUUAGUCUUUAUGUAAGACAUCAUGAAUCGUGUCCCAUAUGCUUCGGAUAUAGGAUCGAUUACAUGUGCUAUAUUCAUCCGUUCUAAAAUUUUCCAAAUGCCUGGGGCAUUAAGAAGGGAAAAGGUUUAGAACUGGAUAUGACUAAAAGGAUUAAACAAUUGUCGAGGACAAUCUAAGGUUUACCAAAGAUUGGUUGCUCAAGGACAGUUGGAAGUAUAGUGAUAAUUCUGGAAGGACCAUAUUGACAUAAUCUGUAAGGAGGCAACUCUUGUUCAGAAGUGAUAGUCAAAAUGGAAUCUGGAAAUGUUUCAAAGUUAGAAUUUUCAAUCUGUUUAAGAUUAGGAAACUUAAUGCAAGAAGGAUGUUUCCAAGGAGCUGAUCUCCUUUGGAAUACUCUGUAAUGAUUGUUGUCAAGUCUUUCUGACUUUGUGCAUAAUCAUUACAAGAGGAUCAAUGCAUAUAAGUUUAGAAUCUAACAGAUUUCAGUAAAUGGCAUGAAUUUGGAAUUCUUGCAUUUGCAGUAAGGAUUUGGGAGUGUGAAAAGAGAAUCAUUGAAGUUAUGUUCAAUUGAUCUAGUUCACAAAGUAAAGAUCAUAGACAAACAUAGUAUGCAUACUUGGUGUGUGGCAUGACUAGUGUUUAAGAAAACAUAGUGUACAUGCUUGGAGCAUGGGACAACUAUUGUUUUAAAUUCAAGAAUAAAGUUGAUAGCUGAAACAGUAUACAAUGAAUAAUGUGUAAUCAUAUGGUGAUAAAUAAAAGGUGUUUUAUUUAUGUUCAAAGUUUUGAUACCAUAUUGGAUUCAAUUAUUAUUGUGUUUCACUUUGCAUGUUUUGACUUCCCGAAUAAACUAGGUUAUUCUUCCGGAAUGACUAAGUUAUUCAAACCAUCCACAGUCGGUCAUAUGUUGGAAGUAGAUAUGAAUUAAGACUGUCAUGGGUUGGCUUGUAGAGGUCUAAGGUGUUGGACAAAGGGCUACAACACUCAUGAGUGCUCAUAAGUUCUGAGUAUUGGAUUCAACCCGCGCUCAUUGGAAUCACUUCAUGGAUUUUAUCACGAGUGAUCAUGAGACGAUAAUAUCUUAUAUUCUUCAAACCUAGAGAUAUGAGUUGUUACUAUGAGUUGAUAGUACAUUGAUUGCACGAAAACGCAUUUGGUAACUCGGUGCUAUAAAACGUGCCUUUGUGUAUGAUUCAACAAGUAGUAGAACAAGCCAUAUGAGUCGAAGUUUAUCCGUUCCUUUUACCUUCGGGAUAAAAGCGAUAUCUGUGGGCCCCUCGAUGAUUUGAUGAUGACAAAUGGAAGUGCUCGGCCGGGCCAGGACUGAUUUGAUUUGUUCAAUUAGUCAGUCGUCAUAAAUCGGAAAUCGGGAAACAACAAAUGGACAGAGAGAAUGAUUAUAAUCCAUGUCUCAGUCCAUAUGAUAUCUAGAAUGGAGGAAUAUAUGAUCCCUUAUCUAAUGGACAAGUCAUUGACAAAGGUCAGAGUUCAUCUACAAGGUCAGAGUUCGACAGAAGCUUUUGAGAGCUACGAUUGCCAGUUGGUUCCUGAAGUCAUACGCAAUAAUAGUUUUAGACUUAUCCAAGUGGGAGACUGUUGGAUUAAUGUCUAAGUCCAUAACUAUAAUUGGUAAGACUUGACCCGACCCGGCAUGGUCCAUUUGGGUUGCAUGGCAUCAUGCACUUGGAUAGACUAAAUGAGAGAAAUAAGACACUUAUGGUUAUUAAUAUAUUAUAAGUUCUAGUAUAUUAAUAAUAAGAAUAAUGAGAUUAUUUAAUUAGUAUUGAUCAAGAAUUAAUCUAGGAUUAAUUAAGUGAUCAAAAGAAGACUAAUUAAAUAUAUGGGUUGAUUGUGUAAAUCAUCCAUACUUGUAUAGUGGGCUAAUGCUCCAUGGAUAAUCAAGUUGGGCUAAAACCCAUAGGAUGGUCCAUGGAUGCUCCAUGGUGUAUUUGUACCCAUGGAUCCAAGGAAAUGGAAAGCCAUGACAAUUAAGAGUUUACCCUAAUUGUGUAACUAUAUAAGCAUCUUAUUAUUGAGGAAAAAUCGGCCACUAGUGAUAGUGAAGAAAGGGCUAGCCGAUUUUGAAGAGUGUAGAAUUCUCUCAAAUCAUUCCAAGUGUUUUGAUGAUUGUGAUUCCAUUUGAGGUGUCACACUUGGGGCACUAGGCACUCAAGCUUCAUGAAGACUUUCUACAUCAAAGAGGUAUGUAUUCUAUCUUGCUAUAGUCAUUGUUUUGUAUGCUAGAUUAGGAUAAUACCUUGGAAGUUCUUAUUUGCAUGUAUAAUAGAGAAAACAUAGAUCCAAGGUAUUUAGGGUGGCAUGUACACUUAGGAGUGUUAGAAUGCUCAAAACCCAACAGAUAGAAGAUUAAACAAUGACCGGAAAAUGGUUGCAGUGGGAAACAAACGGGGAGGUGCUCAGGUCAACAAUGAGAAGGCUAUGGUUGCUCAGUCUUUUGACUGGGAGGACCAGAUUCAGGCCCUGAACACUUAAAAACCUGAAAGUGCUCACCUGGCCCAAGAUAAAGAUGAAUCCCCCAUGGAGAGUAUUGCAGUUGAGGAAAAGAUGAUGGAGCUUCAGUUUGCGUUCAUGGUAUCUUCUACUUCUGAAAAAUGAGGUAAGUUUGCCUUCUUUCUCUCAAGCUUGUAUUGAUUAUGUUAAAAUUCUUCGUGAGGAAAUAGAAUCAUUACGUAGAGAAGUAGUGGACCUUAUAUAUGAGGGCUAUCAACUUAGAAAAGGACAAAAACCCUUAAAGGCCCAAUUAGAAACAAAAAUAAAGGACUUUAGGAGACUUUAGGAAGACUACAGUAAUAAAUGUGAAAACUAUGAUUAUAUCAAGAGACAAAAUGUUGAGUUAAUUGUUGAGCUUGAUACAUUAAAAAAAUAUGAUGUAUCAAGCGAGGUAGUCACCAACAUGAUUGACCAUUUCCUGCAGUUUAAACAAAACCAGAAAAACGGUUUGGGAUAUGAUAAUGUACCUCCUCCUUUUAAUCACACAUAUCAGUAUCACCCUUUGACUAAAGAGGAGAUUGCCAACGAACCAUUCAUGGUUUAUGGCAAACCAACAUGUUUUUUUUCAGAAGGAUUUAUUAAUGUUGAAAAUACUAACGUUUCUACUUCCCCUACAGAUCAAUCCUUAAAUCAGUCAAAGCACGAAGUUGAAGGAUCUGUUUCUGAUAAUAAAACUGAGUCUGAACCUGAAGUUUUAGUUUUAAAUAAAGACUUUAUUUUUUCUGAUGUUGAAAGGACAAUGUUUUUAGUGAUUUUUCUGCACCUUCUGAUACUGGUUUGAAUGUUUUUAAAGUGUUUGAUGAGAUGGUUGAUAAUUCUGAUGCUUGUAGUGAUACUAAUAAAAGCUCACCAUUUCCACAAGUCACUCCAUCUGAUACACCCUCACCUAUCUCACAACCUACUUCUUGUUCAUGUUCAUGUGAGAAAAGCAAGGGUGUCAGUAUGGAAAAUAAAUCUGAAAAAGGCAGUACAGGUUUUAACAAUAACAAAUAUAUUUGUAUCAAUUGUGGUAUUGGUGGUCAUAUAGCUAGGAAUUAUCCUAAUAUAAUGUUUGUACAUUAUACGUCACAAAGAGGAGAGAACGAAUUUAGAGGAAGGUCUUUAACUAGAAAGUCCUCUAGAGCUCAUUCUCGGAAUGAUGAUUGGAGGAUGAUCGUAGUAGAAAACGGGCAGUUUUUCAAAAUAACAAAAAGGUAUUUCAUAACAAAGUCCCAAACAGUUUGCCAAAAUCGAACAUGGCUCCGCCAAGAUCGGUUUUGUCAAUGAGUAGCUAUGGGUCUUCAAUCAUUUAAGGUAGAAAACCCAAGUGCUCAAAGCAAACUGAUAAGAAUCCUAUUUCAAAACCAUUAGUGACUGUUAGAAAACCUAAUUACCAAUGGAUGCCCAAAAUAAGUUCCAAUCCAUCAUCAGUAUCCUCUAAAAAAUUAGUAAAUAAUGAUAAAUCUGAAAAAGCAAAGGGUCAACCCAGGAAAGUGAUGACCUGGGUUCCCAAAUCUAAAUGAUCCCGCACAUUUUGCAGGGACAGUUAUGGGGGAAUGUCAUCAGACCUUGGUUCGUCGACAGCGGCUGCUCCCCGCAUAUGACAUGAGAUAUCUCCCAACUGAACAACAUUCAAUCAUUUAAUGGGGGGCUAUGUUUCCUUUGUAGGUGGAGAAGGUGGCAAGAUCACUCAGAGAGGAACCGUUACAAAUGGAGUUUUAAGUUUCGAGAAUGUCAACUUUGCUCCCGAGUGAAAGCAUAGUUUGUUGAGUGUGUCUCAGAUAUGCGACAAGGCUAUUCUAUGCAUUUCACUGACAAGGAAUGUAUGAUUGUCAAGCCAGUCAUUGUCAUCCUGGAGGAAUGGAUUCUUGUCAAAUCUAUGAGGGAUGGAAAUGCUUACAUUAUUGAUAUGAAUAGCAACCUUCUAGAACAAGUUACUUGCUUCUUUUCAAAGAUCUCAGAACAAAAUGCAAUGUAGUGGCACCGAAGACUCGGUCAUGCUAACGCCAAAAACCUAAAUCUUCUUGCAAAGAAUGAGAUGGUUCGUGGUUUACCUAUCAGAAAUUUUAUAACGUUUGAGAAGUGUGUGUCAUGUGCCCAAGGUGAACAUCAUAGAAAACCACACCUAACAAAACAGGUUAACUCAAUCAAUCAGGUGCUCCAAUUAUUACAUGUGGACUUGUUCGGUCCAGUGAACGUCCUAAGCAUUAACAAAGUUCGUACUUUCUGGUUGUGAUUAAUGAUUUCUCUCGUUUUAAGUGGGUCUUCUUCUUAUCCAACAAAGUUAGGGUUGUAGAACUGAUAAAGAAGUUCAUAGUGCUGAUUGAGAACCAAACCAAUAAUCGGGUGAAGGAGCUUCGUACCAACAACGGAAGAGAGUUCAAGAAUUCUAUUCUAGAUCAUUUUUGCAUAGAAAAGGGGAUUAUGCGUCAAUACAGCUCCACUCAUACACCUCAACAAAAUGGUGUUGCUGAAAGGAGAAAUAGAACUUUAAAAGACGCUGCAAGGACGAUGUUGUGUGACUCCAAGUUACCGGUUUUCUUUUGGGCCGAGGCGAUUAACACUACUUGCUACGUUCAGAAUCGUGUGUCGAUCAACAAAGCUCAAAUGAAGACACAAUAUGAGAUUCUAUAUGGUCACAAGCCAUCAGUAAGUCAUUUCCGUGUAUUUGGCUGCCCUUGCACCCUUCUUCACCUAGAGUCCAACCUAAAGUUUAAUGCCAAAGCCGAUGAUUGUUAUUUCGUAGGGUAUGCUGCACGCACAGCAUAUAGGGUCUACAAUUAGAAGACGAAGCAGAUUGUGGAAUCCUAUGACAUAAGCUGGCUGGAGGAGAAUGAAAUGGAUGCUCGAAUGGGUCUGGAUUGGUUAUUUGAUUACACAUCACUUUUAAGGUCUAUAAAUGUGUCUUCAGAUAGUUCAUCUGGGUCUUUCUCUGGUUCGAAGAAUGUUUCUGAAGAUGAAGACGAAGAAGUUGUCUACAGACCCCCAACAGUAUCCUCUUCACCAUCUGAGGGGGAGUCCUCUGCUUCACCUGAGGGGGAGUCAUCUGUACCACAUGAUAGUCCAAAAUCUCCAGUUCAGAAUGAUACUCCUGAUGUUGAGGCUACACCGCUCACUCCUGUUGAAAGAGNCUGUUGAAAGAGUGUUCAUGUCUAGAGAUGCUUCCGCUGUCACUUCAAACUUUAUGGAACUACUCUUUCCUGAAGACAUUUCUAAUGAGUUUGUAGCAGAUUCAUCUGGUGUGGAACAAUCAGCAAAUGAAGGAGGUGUCAAUAUCCACAAUCUUCCCAUCUCGCUUAAUGAUAUCAGCCAGGAGAUACCCUUAAGAAUUCAAUGCGACAAUCCGAUCAAGAACAUCAUUGGUCAGGUGGGCGAUGGAGUUAAAACCAGAAGUAAGAGUGGAGAUGUCAAUACAUGUCUCUAUUCUUGCUAUAUCUCUCACAUAGAGCCCAAGAAUGUUGAAAUGCCUCUGAAUGAGCCCAGCGGGGCAGAUGCUAUGCAUGAAGAGUUGAAUCAGUUUGAAAAGCUCGGGGUUUGGAAAUUGGUUGAGUUACCAAAGGGCAAAAAGUCUCUUCACACACGUUGGGUCUAUCGAAACAAGCAGGAUGAUUCAGGGGUUAUAGUGCGAAAUAAAGCUAGAUUGGUGGUUCGCGGGUUUCGACAAGUCGAGGGUCUUAAUUAUACUGAGGUUUAUGCUCCAGUAGCUCGCUUGGACACUAUUCGUAUCUUCCUUGCAUAUGCCUCUUACAUGAACUUCACGGUUUAUCAAAUGGACGUCAAGACAGCCUUCUUGUAUGGCAAGGUGAAGGAAGAAAUCUACGUUUAUCAUCCCCCUGGGUUCGUUAACUCAAAGUUUCCUAAUCAUGUCUACAAGUUGGACAAGGAAUUGUAUGGGUUACAUCAAGCUCUUCGAGCAUGGUAUGCGACCCUUACAAAGCACUUGCUCGAGCAUGGAUACUCUCGUGGCACUAUCGAUCAAACUUUGUUUAUCAAGCAUGUUGGUAAUGAUCAGAUUCUGGUUCAAAUCUACGUUGACGACAUUAUUUUCGGGUCUACCAGUCCGCACCUAUGCAAGGAGUUUGAAGGCGUUAUGAAAAAGCAGUUCGAGAUGAGUUCGUUGGGAGAAAUGACCAUGUUUAUGGGGCUUCAGGUUAAACAAAAUUCAACUGGAAUCCUUCUACAUCAAGCCAAGUACGUGGAGGAUAUUCUUGAGAAGUUCGGAUUUCAAGAUGCUAAACCUGCAUCGACGCCAAUGCCCGAAUGACCUCUGCUGACUCCAGAUACUGAUGGCGAAUCUGUAGAUCAGACACACUACAGAUCGAUAAUCGGAUCGUUGAUGUAUCUUACUACAAGUCGUCCAGACAUCAUGUUUGCAGUUUGUUAAUGCGCAUGUUAUCAGGCUAAUGCUAAAUUUUCACAUCUUAUUGUCGUCAAAAGAAUUUUUCGGUAUAUCAAAGGCAGCCCAAAAUUGGGUCUUUGGUAUUCGAAAAAUUCUGAAUUUGAUUUAUAUGCUUUUGCUGACAGUAAUUAUGGAGGCUGUGAGCUUGACAGGAAAUCUACUUCAGGAGGGUGUCAAUAUCUUGGAGAUCGGCUGGUGUCGUCGCAGUGCAAGAAGCAACACACCGUCUCAACUUCAACAGUUGAAGCGGAAUAUGUUGCUGUAUCUGCUUGCUGCUCUCAAGUUUUCUGGAUCCAACAUCAGCAUUUGGAUUACGGUAUGAAUUAUCUAGAAACCCAUAUCUACUGUGAUAAUGAGGCUGCGAUUCAAAUUGCUAAAAAUCUUGUCCAACAUUCAAAAACCAAGCACAUUGAUAUUAAAAUUUAUUUUAUCAGACUGUUUUGAACGUUCACUCAUCCGGCUGGAACAGGUUCCCACUGCUAAUAACGUGGUGUAUCUGUUCACCAAGCCUUUUUACAAAGAUCGAUUCGAUGUGCUUGUUUGAUUUUUUAAAAUGAUUCGUUUUGAGGAUUAAUUUUAUUUUUCUAUUUUUUUACUUACUUUAAGUUAUUUUUAUUUUUAUUUUUCUUAAUUCUCAUUUUCAAGUUUAUUUUUGGUUAGCUUAGUUUAAAUUUGUGCAUUUUAGUGAUUUGAUUCUCACCCAUGCACAAAUUUAGGGGGAGAAAUAAACAAAAACCAAACAAAAAAAUUAAAAUUUUCAAAAUUCCAAAAACAAUAAAAAUCAAAAAAUCAAAAAUAUGUUGCUUGUAGGUGAUGUGUAGGGAAGUGAUAUUAUCAUGUGAUAACAGGCAAUCUGAAUAUGCGUAACGUAUAAAAAUUUAAAUUGUCUUCGCUCUGUGUUCGAUGCGCUAGUAGGCACGAAAGAUUCUAAAUGGACUUGACUAGGAAGAUUUGAACUUAAGGAAUUCAAGGACUUAACAAAUCUUGAACUAGUUAGAUCCAUUUAGCCUGACAAUACGACGCUCAGAUAGGUUGAGCAAGGAGAUAUACAUGGGAAUCUACUGGUCACAUUAAAAGAACCCGCAUCUAGAACUGUGGAUUAACUUUUCCUCCAUAUGCGGAUUCUAUCCUUAAUUAUGGUAUUGAUGGGGUGACUAGGGAAUUCCGAUAAAUUAGGUAUGUAGAAGGUUAUUUUCUUUCUUUCUGUCGUUAGUCAUAUGUUGCCUCCUCUGCGUGAUCGAGAGAUCCGACCUAGACUGUAACAUAUGCAAUUCUAUCUCUCUGCAUCUUCUUUCUAUGCAAUUCUUUUUGUAUGUUAGCCAUAUACUGUCUCCUUUGCGUGAUUUAUAAUCCGACCUGGUACACAGUAUCUGCAUCAUUCUUUUUCUCAAUCCCUCUGAAACGCCAGUUAAUCAUAUGUUUCAUCCGCUGCGUGAUUGGAAGAGAUCCGACCUGGGUGUAUAGCAUAUGCAUUGUAAAUCUAUCUUCUCUCUUAUAAUUGUUUGCUCACACGAUCUAAGGAGUAUUCUGGAAGUUCUUGAUUAUUGGAGCAUAUCAAGAAGUGGGAAACAUGUUCUAGUACAAUUAAAAUUGAACACUUACAAAUUGUCUGUAGAUCUGAUUGCUCAAUUUAGGUGGACAACAAUAUCUCUGGUCGUCGUCAGAUAAAUGGUCCUAAGGAAAUAUAUUUAAGAAUAUAGAAUCAAAAGGAUUUUGUCUUUAUUAGCUUGUCCAAAUUCUAUCACAAAUUUUCGUGUUUAAGUGAACCACAAUACCGGCGAUCGAUCAGACAGAGACAUGAAGGUAAAGGUAUCGAUAAGUAGACCAAGGCUGUCUAACAACUUUGAUCCCUAAGUCACAAAAUUAUAUUCAGUGUUUGUUUAGAUAAGUUUAGUCUAUUUUAUUUUAAUUUUAUUUUUGUUUCAUUUUCUUUUUAUUUUGUAAUUAUCAAAAUUUUAAAUUUUAAAUUUUGGAAAUUAUUUUAAUUUUGUUUUGUUUUAUUUUAUUUUUAAUCUUAUUUUAAUUUUUAAAUGCUCAAAGGUUUUAUUUUUGAAAAUUAUUUGAAAUAUUGGACUAUGCCUUACACUGUGUGGACAGCAGAUAAAAUAGUCAAUGGUAUAUAAAGAGUUUACAGACAGAAACUCCUUCACUUUUCAAUUUCCGACCGCAAAUUCUCUUCCUUUCUCUCUCAACUUCGAAAAAAAUUCCGUUUUUCUGUGAAAUUGCUCCGAUCACCUCAAAGGUAGUACGAUUCCGACCAUAGAUAUGUACUUGCUUCAUGAAAUCACUGAGUUUUUGAGCUUAAAAUCGAUGAAAAUGGGUCUGUCGGAGCUUACGGCCCAAGCUUACGGUCCAAGCUUACGGCCAGGGAGCUUACGGUCGUGAACUCCGUUUGCGGCCCUGAGCUUACUGCCACGAGUUUACGGCCGUAAACUCCAAGUUGACCGUAAACUCCUGGUUGACCUUGAACUUAAAUUUUGGACAAAAUAAUUAAUUUUUGGGCUAAAUUUAAAUCAAUUAAAAUAUUAUUUUCUUAAAUAUCUUUCUUUUCUUACUUGGUAUGUUUUAGUGCAGAUCAAAUGGCAAGCUUAAGAUUCGCAGAUACGCACAACCUGGCAAUUGUACUGGUAGAUCCUCCAGUGGCACAUGGAGAAUUCAGGUCAAUGGUUCACGGACUAAAAGAAUGUUGUCUGGCCUCUGCCGUCACCAUGAACACAGUGGUUUAUCAGAAUAUCAUAAGGGACUCUGAAGACGUUCUCAAGUCAACACCUGUUACUACUGAUCAAGUGGUUGAUAUUACAACUCCAAUGGUGACAGUGUCAGGGAUUCCUCCCCUUGAAGUUGUUUCACCUACAACUGAACCACUUCAAAGUGAUGAUGCAACAGUCCAGACCUUACAACCUCCGUCAAAGAGAAGAAGACGUGAUCCUAGAUUUGGUCUUCUGGAUUCUGACUUAUCUCAUGGACUACCAAUUACACCAACAACUACCCUUGCCAUCGUCUCAACAAAACCUUUUAGUGGAGGUCCAAGCACCACCUUUGAGGUUGGUGGCUCCUCUACUCAAUCAGGAUUUUCUUCUCCUAGGGCAGAUCUUGAUGAUGCCUCUAUACGGCUAGCCAUGCAUCUAGCCUAGGAACAAACUUCAAUACCUUCUUCUAGAGCUAAAGGAAUUUCUUUUAGAGAAGGUCAUUCAGGAGAAGAUGCUUCAGUUAUUGAUGAGCUUCAAAAGAGAGUCAAUGUGCUUGAUCAAAAGAAUAUAGAGCUCAGUAUUUAGGUUAAUGGUCUUUUGAGCAAGAAUAUAAACCUGAAGAUUCAAGUUUCUGAUCUUCAAGAGGAUAAAGCUUUGAAGACCAAGCAGAUCUCUGACUUACAUGAGCACUUUAAUCUUCUUACUUCAAGUUACUUUGAUUUGAAGAAGAAGUUAGAGGAGGAACUUGGUGACAAGUUCAAAACAUCCACUGAUGAGUCGAGGAUUAAUCUACACAUCUAGGCUCAUCCCAUUGGGACAUCCGCUUCGACAUCUCGUGUUGUUGAUAGGUUUGAAAAAGAGCCAGCUCAAGCUCCAAGUGUUGUGGCCUUAAAACGUGCCAAACUGGCCAAAUCUGCUGAAAAGGGUCAAUAUUUGUUUAAAAGGAGCUCAGAUCAGAAUGCUCCUACGGAUCAGCCUACUAUCACCUUCACAGAUCUUGAAGAGAAUCGUUUUAUAGAUAUAUGUGGUGAUAGGUUGGGGAUCGUUUCAUGGGGAUUUCACGAUACUUUGAACAUGUGGAUCGUGAAGUGGAAAAAUGGUAAAAACUGAGCUAUAUAAAGAUGCUCAUGAUUUCAACUCCUGGACCAGGGUUGAUCUUUCAGAGCUAUCAAAGGCCCUAUUUUUCAAACGUCUCUCAAAGUCCCCAGGCUACGCAGUUCAAGAAUUUCUUGGAAGACCAAGUACACAAGGGUUUUCCUUCCAUGAAGACUGCAGAGUCAAUCAUUAAGAUAUACCCAAGUGUGAUUGAUGCUAAAACUAAUCAACCUCUUCGAGAUGUGAUGUGGCCAACUACUAAACAAGUGAAGAAAAUUCCUAUUCUUCAGGAUCAUCCAGAUGGAUCCUUGCGAACCACGGAGUACUGGGUGUUUGAUGAAACCACAACAUCUGAUGUAAUCAAGCUUGAGAAGGGAUGCAUCCGCUUGUAUGACAAAUGAGAUCUGCUUCAAUUUGGAACGUGGGAUAUACAUCGGUUGAGUCAUCAUCAGAUUAAAGUUGCAGAAGACAUCUUUGAGCCAGCUGCCAAAGAGUUUACAGCUAUGGUUGUGGAGAUCAUUGACAAACGGAUGUGGAACGGAGCGAUGGGGAAGUCGGAUGUGCUGGUGGUCGACAAAGACUGAGCUCAAGCUAUCACCAAACCAAGGGGGAGAUUGAAGGGUCUAGUUAAUGGUUGGGUCUAGGCUUUCAUUGUAAUAAGUUCUUUUGAGUUUGUAUGCAGUUUUGGUAGGUUGUUUGGUAGUUUACGACCAAGUAGUGAGUUUACAGUCGUAAGCCUGUUUACGGCCGUAAACCCAGUGUCCGUCCCAAGUCCACUAUAUAUAGGGGUUAAGUAGGUCAUUAAUGGUUGUUGAUUCCAUAAUAGUUCACGGUCAUAGGAUCAAGUUGUACUAGAUGUUUUAUGCAAUAUAAGUGUGUGCAAGCUUGUUUCAAUUUUGUUUCUUCUUUGUUUCUCAUUAUAUUUGAUUGUGUGAUUUCUUGAUCAUUGGUAAAGAUCCCUUUUCACGGCCUUACAUGGACGAUUAUGAGAACAUAGAAGAGGUGGUGGAAAUUUCAAAUUAUUUUAACGCUCCAAGCGUAAGUAAAGAUACAGUGAUGCUACGAAUUUUACCGGUCACACUAAAGGGUGAAGCAAAAGGAUGGUUAAAAUCCCUUCCCUUUGGAGAAAUUUAGAAUUGGGAUGAUUUUAAGUCUGAGUUCACCAACCAGUUUACCCUUCAAUUGAAAGUGGCAAAGCUUAAAAGAAACAUACAAAAUUUUCAACAAUUAAAAGGGGAGUCGCCAUAUGGAGCUUGGGAACGUUACAAGAGAUUGUUACGACAUUGCCCUCAACAUGAAUUCAAUGUGCAAUAAGAAAUUUCGAUAUUUUAUGAUGGAGUCAAUGUGUGUACUCGUCAACUUCUGGACUCACAAGGAGCCAUGACAAGGAAGGAUCUAAUAACAAAUAAAGCUUUGAUUGAAGAAUACGUUAAGCAUUCAAGAGAUUAUCACAACCAAAGGAAGAUUUCACUAAAGAAAAAUCAAGUAACGAUGGAGGUCAAAUGCUAUCAGUGCAAUAAUUGCAAAGCUCGAUGCAAUGGAAGAAAAUAUCAUAAAAUUGGGUGGACCAGUUCAAGUUAGAUGCGGAGCUUGUGGGGGACCCCAUUCUACAAGGGAUAGUAAUUGGAAUUCAAGAGAGAUCAAGAUACAAAAGAAAUCCAACAACUAAGCAUGACCUGUAACGUCCCAAAAAUACGAGCCAAAAUUUUCAUUUUUGAAAACAUAUAUUUAGCAAAAUAUUCGAAUAAAAACAUUUGCUGAUCAUAACAUUUUAUAAAGAUAUCGCAUAUCUGGAAAAACAUUUCAAUAACAUAAAAAUGUCAGAGUACAAAUCCCCAGGAAUGUCUCAUGAUGCGGAAUACGAAGCAUGUGUGUGAUGGGCUGCUACCGCGCCAGCUCCUUCCCCUUCGAAGAAGAGGUACCUGAAACCAAAACUGAAAACUGUAAGCACGAAGCUUAGUGAGUUCCCCCAUAAUACCUCAUACCAUGCAAGCAUACAACAUACAGCUAGGAGAUACGGGCCUUGCCCACACUCCGCUAGCCGAGAGAUACAGGCCUCGCCCAUGCUCCACUAUCUGGGAGGUAAGGGCCUCGUCCACACUCCACUCUCGGAGAGAUACGGGCCUUGCUCACAAUCAGUCGCCAACCCAUAAUAUACAAGUAUCACACAGACAACAAGUAUAGAAAACUCUAUCAUACUGGCACAUAUCAUAAUCAACUCAUCCAAGAGAUACGGGCUCAACCCACACUCUAGUACUAACAGCUCGUCUAUACGGGCCAGCCUUGGUGCCUUAGACCCGUUCCUACUGGAAGGAAACUCACCUCAAAGUAACUGUCGAUCUACGUGGGAACUGACUGUCUGCUGCUACUGCCGCUCCGGAGAUCUUUCGGCUAUAAUUCCAACAAAACCCUUAGUCAAAUACUGCUAACCGAUUUCAGGGUAAAUUGACCAUUUACCCUUACAAAUCAAGAGUCAAGUCACCGUCAACUGCCAGUUGACCAGACUCGCCGAGUUGGCCAGCCAACUCGCCGAGUCCCUUUCCUUUAGCCUGACCAUAAGUUCGUCUCUACUCGUCGAGUUAAGCGUAGACUCGACGAGUUUUCCUUCUAUACCCAAGGCCAAUAGUCCUUCAUCCUACUCGCCGAGUUGUAUGAACAACUCGCCGAGUUCAUCUUCAUCCGAAGAACACUCUAAGCUGUGACUCGCCAAGUUGUAUGAACAACUCGCUGAGUUGUUCUUGAGAUAAGGAGAUUGUCGUGAACUCGCCGAGUCGAUGCAUUGACUCGCCGAGUGACUUCAUAAGUGAGUCUAGCUUCCGACCCACUGAGUCAUACCCUAUGACUCACCACUCCAACUCGCAACACAAAAGGGGAACAACCCGGGGACUCGCGACCCGAAUCGCCGAGUCAGAUGAACGACUCGCCGAGUCUGCCUCAUGCAAAAACUAUACACGCGAUUUUGCUUGAAUCCAGUCCAUGCCAUUCAUAGAUCUGGGUUCCUAGGGCCUGGUUUACAUGUAAAGUUUCCAACUUUACGUGUAGAUAAUCACCAAUGAAGGUUUUAGGGCUCAAAGUGCACCAAAAGGGGUAGAUCUAGGACUUUCAUGCAAUAAGACUCCAUAAAGGCAAUAGAUCCAAGCUCCAGGGACUAAAUCAUGCCUAGAUCUAAAGGCUAACAACUUAUUACAACCCACUAAGCACAAACAAGCUUGAAGAAUGGCUCAAAAAGGACUUUCAUGAAGCUAUUAGGGACUAAAAGCUUGAACACAGAGGGGAAACAAACCAUACCUCAAGGAAAACGUUGAGAUGUCACAAAAAUGUUUGGCCUCCUUCUCCUCUUCUUGAUCUACUCUUCUUUCUCCUCAAAAACUUCAAGAACACACAAAAACACUUUAAUCUCACAAUGAAUAAGGGUAGCACGAGGUUGGGGAGCUCUGAGGGUGAAUGGGGGCGAGGUUGGGGCGGAAAUGAGAGUUUAAAUAGGGUGCAAACCCUUAUAUUUUAGGGUUUCAACAGACAGCGGUGACUCGCCGAGUCCAGAAUAUGGACUCACCGAUUCGCCAACUUAAACGUACCCCCGGACCGCGUCCCUACUCGGCGAGUCGGACCUACAACUCGUCGAGUUCAAGGCUAAAAAUGACAAAUACUUAGAUAAAUUUUACGUACCAGGAACCAGGUGCUACCAAUCUCCCCUACUUAUUUUAGACUUCAUCCUCGAAGUCUGCCGCUCGAUCCUGAAACAGCUCGGGGUAAUGCUCCUUCAUUUCUUCCACCGGCUCCCAAGUCCAUUCUGAACCCUUGCGGUGUUGCCAUUGCACUUUCACUAACUCCACCCUCUUGUUCCUUAGAUCCUUCGACUUCCGGUCGAGGAUUCCAACUGGGCGCUCAAUGUAAUUCAGACUGUCAUCAAGCUGAAUAUCCUCUAAUGGCACCACCGCUGAAUCAUCCACGAGACACUUCCGCAGCUAGGAGACAUGGAAGGUGAUGUGGAUCUGGCUGAGCUCGGCUGGCAGAUCCAGCUGAUAUGCCACCUUGCCCACCCGGGCUACAACCCUGAACAGUCCGAUGAAUCUCGGGCCCAACUUGCCCCGCUUUCUGAAUUGAAUGACGCCUUUCCAAUGCGACACCUUCAGGAGAACCAUAUCCCCGACCUGGAACUCCAGGUCGGAUCGACACUUGUCGGCAUAACUUUUCUGCCGNNNNNNNNNNNNNNNNNNNNNNNNNNNNNNNNNNNNNNNNNNNNNNNNNNNNNNNNNNNNNNNNNNNNNNNNNNNNNNNNNNNNNNNNNNNNNNNNNNNNNNNNNNNNNNNNNNNNNNNNNNNNNNNNNNNNNNNNNNNNNNNNNNNNNNNNNNNNNNNNNNNNNNNNNNNNNNNNNNNNNNNNNNNNNNNNNNNNNNNNNNNNNNNNNNNNNNNNNNNNNNNNNNNNNNNNNNNNNNNNNNNNNNNNNNNNNNNNNNNCGCUCACUCUGACCAUCCGUCUGCGGGUGAAAGGCGGUGCUAAAAUGCAGACGAGUGCCCAGCUCAUCAUGAAACCUCUUCCAAAACCUGGAAGUGAACCGCACAUCUCGAUCCGAUAUCACUAACACUGGCACCCCGUGCCGCGCCACUAUCUCCCUGAUAUAGAUAUCGGCCAACUUUUCGGUCGAGAUACUCUCCGGAAUCGGAAUAAAAUGGGCGCUCUUGGUCAACCGAUACACGAUGACCCAAAUCGAAUCUACCCCUUGUGCCGUUCGUGGGAGCUUCGUGAUAAAAUCCAUCGUAAUAUCCUCCCAUUUCCAUAACGGGAUAUCCAACGGCUGCAUCUUUCCGUGCGGUCUUUAAUGCUCGGCCUUGACCUUCCGGCAGGUCAAACACCGCUCGACGUACCACGCCACAUCCCACUUCAUGCAGAGCCACCAAUAGUCUAGGCGGAGAUCCCGAUACAUCUUCGUUGCCCCUGGAUGAAUAGAAAAUCGGGAUUUUUGCGCCUCCUCCAUCAAGAUCUGGUGCACGCCUCCAUGAUACGACACCCACACCCUACGGUGGAGUGUCAAUAACCCCCGGCUAUCAUAAUCUAAAGAGGUGACUUGACCCACUAUUCACUCGCUCUUCUGAUGCUCUUCCUUCAUAGCCUCCUGUUGAGCCUCCCGAAUCUGCUCCAACAGGGGAGUCACCACAGUCAUCCUCAUGCAAAUAUCCCUGAUCGGCACCGCCUUGCGGCUAAGCGCAUCAGCCACCACAUUUGCCUUCCCUGGGUGGUAAAGGAUCUCACAAUCAUAAUCCUUCACCACGUCCAACCACCGACGUUGUCUCAUGUUCAGAUUCGGCUGAUCCAUGAGGUACCUCAAGCUCUUGUGGUCCGUGUAAAUGGUACAUCGAACCCCGUAGAGGUAAUGCCGCCAAAUCUUGAGAGCGAAAACAACCUCCCCCGACUCCAAAUCAAGCGUCGGGUAGUUCGCCUCGUGAGGCUUCAGCUGCCUCGAGGCAUAAGCAAUGACAUGCCCCCUCUGCAUCAAUACUGCACCUAGGCCUGAGAUCGACGCAUCACAAUAUACCACAAAAUCCUCUACGCCCUCGGGCAGGGCUAAGAUCGGCACCUCGCACAAUCUCUACCUCAGAGUCUCGAACGUUGCCUGCUGCUCAGGCCCCCACCGAAAGACCACAGCUUUCCUAGUCAACCGUGUCAGGGGUACGGCUAUCUUGGAGAAAUCCUGAAUGAACCUCUGAUAGUAGCCUGCCAAUCCUAGGAAACUCCAAAACUCGGAUGGAGACUUCAGAACCUCCUACCUCAUCAUGGCCUCCACCUUGGCCGGGUCUACUAAAAUCCCGUUCUGAUUGAUGAGGUGCCCAAGAAACUGCACCUCGCGCCACCAAAACUCACAUUUGGAGAACUUGGCGUACAAGCUCUCCCUCCUCAGGGUCUCCAAUACCUCUCUCAGAUGCUCCUCCUGAGUCUUGGAAUAAACCAAGAUGUCAUUAAUGAAACUAUCACAGACCGAUCCAACAUCGGUCUACACACGCGGUUCAUGAGGUCCAUGAACGCGGCAGGAGCAUUGGUGAGCCCAAACGGCAUCACCACAAACUCAUAAUGCCCAUAACACGUCCGAAAUGCGGUCUUCUGUAUAUCCUCCUCUCUAACCCUCAUCUGAUGAUAGCCUGAACGCAAAUCAAUCUUGGAGAACCAAGAUGCUCCCUGCAACUGAUCAAAGAGGUCAUCAAUCCUCGGGAGUGGGUAACGGUUCUUCACCGUUACCUUAUUCAGCUCCCGGUAGUCUAUACACAUCCGGUGCGACCCAUCCUUCUUCCUCACAAACAGGAUCGGGGCUCCCUAGGGCAAACUACUCAGACGAAUAAAUCCCUUGUCUAGCAGCUCCUGCAGCUGCGUAGAUAACUCCUGCAUCUCAGGAGGAGCCAACCGAUAGGGUGCCUUGGCUAUCGGAGCCGCACCAGGAACUAGGUCGAUCCUAAACUCUACCUGACGCUCUGGAGGUGUUCCAGGAAGCUCCUCCAGGAACACAUCAGCAUAGUCUCACACCACUGGAACCUCGCUCACUGUCUCCUUACCCAUCUCCCGAGUAUCCAUAACAUAUGCAACAUACCCCGCGCAACCCUGCUGGAGGUAGCGCCUAGCCCUCGCUGCUGAACAUACUACAGGUCCACGUUGUGACCUCUCACCGUGGAUCACCAACUCUCCCCCGCUUGGGGUCCUGACCCGCACUAGCUGUUGUGCGCAAUCUAUCACCGCCCCAUUAGGGCUCAACCAAUCCAUGCCUAUAAUCACCUUGUUCCCCCGCAACGGUAUGGGAACCAAAUCCACCAAAUAAUGCUCCUCAAAUAACCUCAAAACACAAUCCCCGAACACUGUUGAUGCUCGCACCGAACGAUCAUCGGCAAUCCCUACCUCUAAAGGGCGAUCCAACAUGCCUGAAGACUCAGUAAACCUCUUGCUAAGCGCAAGGGAAACAAAUGAUCGGGUGGCACCCAAAUCGAACAACACCUGGACAGGAAUACCGUUCACAUGGAACGAUCCUAAUGCAUAUACACAGAGCACAUAUCAAUAACAUAACAUCAUAAAAAUAAAGUAGAGGGAAAGAAUCAUACCCGUCACCACAUCGGGUGCGGCGCGUGCCUCCUUUGCCGUCAGCUGGAAUGUCUGGCUCCUCACCACUGGAGCCUCUGCCUUGCCCUAUCGGCCAUCUAUAAUCCGCAGGGUAGCUGGAGCCGGCACCCUAACCGGCGCGGAUGCUGUCAUCUGGGGGCAAUUGGCCUUCUUGUGGCCCCUCUGGUUGCAGUGAAAACACAGCAACUCCGAUGUCUGAAUAGCCAAAGCAGGAGUAGUACAAUCCCUGCUAAAGUGCCCUGCCUUGCCGCACUUGUAGCAGCCUUCUGAUCCCAUCCUACAUGCUCCUUCAUGCGUCCUGCCGCAUUUCCCGCAGCGGCCCGGCCCUCCUUGGCCUUUCGGCCUCCCAUCUGAUCCCUUGGACUUCUUCCCUGAAGCCCCAACCACCUAUCCCGCCUCUGCUUUCCUCUUCCGAAUGUGCUCCAAAUCAAUCUCCCUUUCCCUCGCCCUGGCAAUCAUGGAAUCCAGGGUAGGGCAGGCUGAAAAGCUAACAUGCUCCCGGAUGUCAGCCCGUAGCAUGUCAUGAUAACGGGUCCUCCUCAUAUCCUCAUCACCCGCAUACUGGGGCACCAAUAGUGCCCUCUCCCGGAACUUGGCGAUGAUCUCCGCCACAGUCUCCGUCGUCUGCCUCAUGUCUAAGAACUCCCUGGCCAGCUGCUGAAGCUCGACAGCUGGCGCGAACUCCGCCCUGAACCUGGUCACAAAGUCCAACCAAGUCAUAGCCUCGAUAGCCGAGGCUCCCAGUGAGUCCCCCACGGACUCCCACCAAUCCCUAGCUCGAUCCCGUAAACACCCUACUGCGAACCUCAUCUUCGACCCCUCAGGGCAGAAGCUAAUCAUCUGUGCAGACUCAAUGUCGGUAAUCCAUCGUCUGGCAGCUAUGGGGUCCUUCGCCCCGUGAAAAUCCAACGCACCACUGCCCCGAAAGUCCUUGAAGGACAGCGUGCGAGAUCCCGACUGGCCAGAUGCCAUAUCGCUCCUGAAUGCCCGAAGGCGAUCCUCCAUCAACUCCAAUAUCCCUUCCUUGAUCGACCCGAAGAUGAUGGGGGUCGACUCAAGGAUGCCUCUGGUGAUCUCAAACGUGAUGAACUCACAUAGCCCCUCAUCCACUGGCUCGGAACCUGAUCCCUCUCCUGUACUGCCAACUGUUGGCCUCGAACGUAGUACCACCAUUUUGAAAUACAAAGGAAAUGACAACUGUUAGCGAUACUAAUACCUCUGGAGGGAUCAUAAUUACUACAAGUUCCCUGGUCUUAUCUUGGCAUUCCUCGAUUCGGGUACGGAUCUCAGUAGUACGGGCCCAUACUACCUUCCACAUAUAUCUGUACCUUCUCCAAGGACUGCCUUGACUCCACCAGGUCCCUUUCACUACCGCUGAUCUCUGCUACUCAUAUCCUAGGCUUACCCUAGGAAACCUCUGACUUCACCCAACCUAGUCCUCAGCUGCUGAAGGCCUCUUGGUGAUGUCAAUUAGCCAUUACCUGAAUACAAUCACAUGUAACGAGGCUCGGAUAAUCCUUUGAGAAAGGGACUCAUCCCUACCAUGGUUAGGACUCAAACAAGAGCUACACAAUAGGGUCAAAUCCAACACUCUAAGAUUAUUCAACCCUGAUCACAUGUGACUUUAUCGUAUUCACCUAACAACUAACUCCCAUCACUUCAAAGCCCACAUAGCACAAAACAAACAACAUUUGGACAUAAAGGAAACAAUCUCAAGCAACUCAAUCCUCUUAGAGAGAAACUGAACUAGCAUACAACGCUAAACUCGCACUAUCAGGCAUAACCUAAACAGACCAUCCUAAUGUUGUCUACUCAAUUCUAGCAUGCAACUUUUCACGCACUGAAGCACAUAAAGCAGGCACAUAAGGCAUCACUCCUAGAUCCUUAGUCCUAUUCUAGCAUGUUGUUCUACUGAAACUGAUAAGCAUAACAUAAACUUGUAUGGGUACUUUGGGGAAUACUUACUUGAGCUUGGCCGGUCGCGCACAUCACACACUUCUUUCUUUCUUAGAAAACUUUACUAGCUUUUAGAAAACAUUUUCUUUUCCCAAAAUCUUUCGAUCCCUCGAUUUGAGUUCAAACACCCCCCGAAGGUGUGUUCGAAUCCCUCAAACCAGGGCUCUGAUACCAACUUGUAAUGUCCCAAAAAUACGAGCCAAAAAUUUCAUUUUUGAAAAGAUAUAUUUAGCAAAAUAUUUGAAUAAAAACGUUUACUGAUCAUAACAUUUUAUAAAGAUAUCGCAUGUCUGGAAAAACAUUUCAAUAACAUAAAAAUGUCAAAGUACAAAUCCCCAAGAAUGUCUCAUGAUGCGGAAUACGAAGCAUGUGUGUGAUGGGCUGCUACCGCGCCAGCUCCUUCCCCUUCGAAGAAGAGGUACCUGAAACCAAAACUGAAAACUGUAAGCAUGAAGCUUAGUGAGUUCCCCCAUCAUACCUCAUACCAUGCAAGCAUACAACAUACAUCUAGGAGAUACGGGCCUUUCCCACACUCUGCUAGCCGAGAGAUACGGGCCUCGCCCACGCUCCGCUAUCUAGGAGGUACGGGCCUCGCCCACACUCCACUCUCGGAGAGAUAUGGGCCUUGCCCACACUCAGCCGCCAACCCAUAAUAUACAAGUAUCACACAGACAACAAGUAUAGACAACUCUAUCAUACUAGCACAUAUCAUAAUCAACUCAUCCAAGACAUACGGGCUCGGCCCACACUCUAGUACUAACAUCUCGUCUAUACAGGCCGGCCUUGGUGCCUUAGACCCGUUCCUACUCGAAGGAAACUCACCUUAAAGUAACUGUCGAUCUGCGUGGGAACUGACUGUCUGCUGCUACUGCCGCUCCGGAGAUCUUCCGGCUAUAAUUCCCACAAAACCCUUAGUCAAAUACUGCUAACCGAUUUCAGGGUAAAUUGACCAUUUACCCUUACAAAUCAAGAGUCAAGUCACAGUCAACUACCAGUUGACUAGACUCGCCGAGUUGGCCAGCCAACUCCCCGAGUCCCUUUCCCUUAGCCUAACCAUAAGUCCGUCUCUACUCGUCUAGUUAAGCAUAGACUCGACGAGUUUUCCUUCUAUACCCAAGGCCAAUAGUCCUUCACCCUACUCACCGAGUUGAAUAAACAACUCGCCGAGUUCAUCUUCAUCCGAAGAACGCUCUAGCUGUAUGAACAACUCGCCGAGUUGUUCUUGAGACAAGAAGAUUUCCGUGAACUCGCCGAGUCGUUGCAUUGACUCGCUGAGUGACUUCAUGAGUGAGUCUGGCUUCCGGCCCACUAAGUCAUACCCUAUGACUCACCACUCCAACUCGCAACACAAAAAGGAGAACAACCCGGGGACUCGCGACCCGAAUCGCCGAGUCAGAUGAACGACUCUCCGAGUCUGCCUCAUGCAAAAACUAUACACGCGAUUUUGCUUGAAUCCAGUCCAUGCCAUUCAUAGAUCUGGGUUCCUAGGGCUUGGUUUACACGUAAAGUUUCCAACUUUACGUGUAGAUAAUCACCAAUGAAGGUUUUAGGGCUCAAAGUGCACCAAAACGGGUAGAUCUAGGACUUUCAUGCAAUAAGACUCCAUAAAGGCAGUAGAUCCAAGCUCCAGGGACUAAAUCAUGCCUAGAUCUAAAGGCUAACAACUUAUUACAACCCACCAAGCACAAACAAGCUUGAAGAAUGGCUCAAAAAGGACUUUCAUGAAGCUAUUAGGGACUACAAGCUUGAAAACAGAGGGGAAACGAACUAUACCUCAAGGAAAACGUUGAGAUGUCACAAAAAUGCUUGGCCUCCUUCUCCUCUUCUUGAUCUACUCUUCUUUCUCCUCAAAAACUUCAAGAACACACAAAAACACUUUAAUCUCACAAGGAAUAAGGGUAGCACGAGGUUGGGGAGCUCUGAGGGUGAAUGGGGGCGAGGUUGGGGCGGAAAUGAGAGUUUAAAUAGGGUGCAAACCCUUGAAUUUUAGGGUUUCAACAGACAGCGGUGACUCGCCGAGUCCAUAAUAUGGACUCGUUGAGUCGCCAACUUAAACGUACCCCCGGACCGCGUCCCUACUCGGCGAGUCGGACCUACAAAUCGCCGAGUUCAAGGCUAAAAAUGACAAAUACUUAGAUAAAUUUUACGUACCAGGAACCAGGUGCUACAUGACCUCUACCAAAUAGAACAAGUCCACUCUAAGAAAAUAUCUUCUCUCGAGUCAAUGCUAUUUAGAUUUAUGGGAGCUAGUGAAAAACAACAUGAUGCUACAGAUGCAACACUUAGAGAUCAACAAGCAUCUAUCAUGAGCAUCUACACACAAGUUGGGCAAUUAACCAACCUUGUGCAAGAAAAGCUACCGGAUUCACCUUCAAGAAAAACCGAGUCAAUCCCAAUCUCUCAAGUCAUGGUUGUUUAUAUAAAAGAAGAGGAGGAAUUGGUGCAUAUGGGGGUCCAUGAUUCAAUAGAAGAACAGUUUAAUCAGUCGCCAAAAGAAAAAGAAGAUAUAAGUCGUAACUCUUACCAAUCGCCACGACGUGGAGGCAAUAUUGGCAUGUCCUGGGCAAUAAAAGAAGAUUAUGAUUUUUCACUAGUUAAACCAUAUCAACCACUUCUUCCUUUUUCAUCUCGUGCCAAGUAAAAUCUGGAGAAGCAAGGAAACACAAUGUUCAUGGAGCAUAAAGAACUUGAAGAGCAAUUGGAAAAGGAAGGGAAUUAUUCGAAACCUCCAAUGUCAACGCCAAUGAUUUUCGAGAUGUUUGCUUUUACAAGACCACCAGAUCAAGUCACAAAGAUAGUUGAAGAAAAAGAAGAAGAGAAUGAUGAGUCUCAUUUUAACAAGAAAAACCUGGAAAAGGACAAGACAAAAGCUAAAGACACGAGAAUGUAGAAAGAACCCAAGAGGAAGCAUUAUGAAGAUGUCAACCCAAAAAUUCCAGAAAGCACAGCAAAUGCAUUCAACAGAUGGGUUGCUUACAAAGGAGAAAGGUUCAAGAGGAUGGAGAACGGGGAGGUUACACUUCCACCUGACGCAACGUGGAAGGGAAUGAGUACAACAAAAGUCUCCUCAAAAAGAAGCGUUUCUCGGGAGGCAACCCGAUUUUUGAGAGUUUGCAUUAUCUUUUCCUUUUGAUUUCUUUUUAGUUUUUAUUUUCACUUAUAGUUUUAAUUUAGUUUAACCAAAUAAUGAUGUGUUUCUCUAGUCUUUGAUCUUACCUUGUAGUGUUGAACGAAAGUGAAGAAGUGAAGGAGUUGAAUUCAUAAAAAUGUCGUGCUAUUUUUCUUUGACGAUUAUAAUUGAAGACCAUGUUUUUGAAUAAGUGUGGGGUUCCCACCUGGUGAAGAGAAGAUCUUUGAAGAUAUUUUUUUAGAAAGAAGACGCUGGGAAUGAUCCUAAGUCAUUAAGAAGAAACAAUGAAUAAUUUUGGAACUAAUUGGCAUUCUAAGAAGUCACCACGACGUGGCCAUCAUCACCACGCCGUGGCAUUUGUUUUUAUCGCGAUUGAAUUUCAUUAGCUCUAUACACAUGUCGUGGCAUCUUUAAACCGCGAUGUGGUGUUCUUAUUUUUCAUGAUCAUCACGACUUCUACCUCGACACCACGACGUAGCGUUGCUUUCCCACGUCGUAGUCCACGUUCAACAUACUUUUUGAAAGAUGCUUCUUUGUUCGUUUUGAUCUAGCACAUAUACAUUCACAUUCACCAUAGAAGAUCUAAGAAGUACUGUUUCCAGCAAUUAUACGUGCAGUCCAAUCUUUCCACACACUUUCAGAAUUCGAUCUCUCCCCUACUACCCAAUCAGAGCCUAUUCCAAUUCUCUCUCUUUAACUUUAUGUUCUUUUAUUGUUUAAGCAUGCGACGGGGACAUUGAAUCAUUUAAGUGUGUUGUAGGGUGUUGAAUCUAGGAAAACAAACAUUCUGAUUAAAAAUUGAAAAUUGAAAAAAUGAAUAGGAAUUUAAAAAUUAUUAGAAAGAUUUGAAAAAUAUCUAAAAUUGAAUCUAGUUAAAUAUUUUUUUGUUAUGUUGAGAUCUAUGUUGCUAGCAUUGUGUGGGAUAGUCCAUUACGAGUUUUGAUGUUUAUUUGAGCCAAUAAAUGUUGUAGUGUAUUUGUGGCUACCAUAUCCUUGUGAAAUCAUGGAACAAAAACACGACCUUUCUUAUUUGAGGGUCGCAAUAUGUUUAGAAUCGUGUACCAGAAAUGUAUCCAAGGGAGCUUAUGUAGUCAUUGCAUCUUAGACUAAUACCUCUAACCAAUAAGGGUUGAAGUUAAGUUCCCAUGCUUAAAGCAUAUGUUUUUAUAGGUUUUUAGUUUUGAGUGAAAAAACAAAAGAAAAAUAAAAAUAGUUGCAAAAUUGUUGAGUGAACAAGAGUUAUCAAAGCUUUGAAGAUCAAGAAAUAUCUUGAAGAAAACUCCAAAUCAAUGAAGACUCAAGAAUAAGGCAAUUUGCCAAGUUAUUUUAUAUUGUAAUUUUUCUUUAUAGGUUAGUUUACCAUAUGUAUGCUUCGGAGCUUAACCAAAAUUAAAUUGAGGUUAAGAAAUUUUUCUGGGAUAGAUUCGGGGGGAUGCAUAAAAUGAGCGUUGUUCAAAAGAAGUGAGCAAGUGCUUAUGAAGAUUGUGAGUAUUUAGGAUUGAGAAGUUCUUACGAAAAAAUAUAGACUCAAAUACAUACAUUGCGGACUUAGAGUAAUGGAGAAGCUCAAAAUGUAUUGUCUUGUGUGAUGUGGGUAGCUAAAGUCUUGAUAUGAUAAUAAAAUCAGUUUUGUUUGAGGGAAAGCAAAAGACAAGUGUGAGAUAUUUUGAUAGUGUCAUAUUUAUACACAUUUAUAGGCAGUAUUUUAAUACAUUUUAAGCUAUAAUUUUGUUAAUUGCAAAGAUAUUUGGUACUUACAAUGUUUAAAUUUUAUUUUGCAGCAAAAAGUGGACAUUCUCGAAGAAAAGGAUCGAUACCGACAAAAGCUGGAUACUUGAAGGAUUGGAGUUGAAAAAGAUACAAAAAGGAUGUUGUUGGACAGCUUGACCCCUCGUCAGUAUUUUCACCAUAUCUUAUGACUCGUAACUCCGAGUGAUGAGAUUCAGAAUGAUCUAAAACUAGACAAAAUUUUGGACGACUUUCGUUUUUGUGCCAAAUGCUAAUUUACAAUUCUCACGACGUGAGAACUAUAAUCUCAUGACGUGAGAUUGAUUAUUCUAAAAGAUAACUAUGCGGAGAGCAAGUUUCCUUGUUGAAUACGGAUUUCUACUGAUCUUACGACGGGAGACCCUAAUUCACACGACGUGAGAUGUGAUUUAAGGAAACUAUAAAUAUUCCUUUACAUAUUCGAUUUUGGAGAGUUGGAAUAGAUAUUAUGGACAGAUAAUCGAGUUUAGAGGUCAGAUGAAUGCGAAAAACAUCUAUUGGAAGAGGAGACCGUUUGAAGAUUGAAGAUUUGAAGAUCACACAUCAUAUUCGGGUUGCGUUGAUUUAAUCAUGUCUAAUUCUUAUGUUUUUGUGUGCUUAAUUUAUGCCAUGAGUAGCUAAAUCAUUAGGCUUUCGUUUAGUGUAGAUGAACCCUAAUACUAUAAGUUAGUUUCUUAUUUAUCUAUGGAUUUUAUGAAGUUGGAUAAUGCAUGUGUUUAAUUAUCAUUACCUAGCAUGUUAAAGUCUACAUAUUUGUUGCUUUGAUUCAAGUUAAGUGUAAUUUAAUGACCAUUUGAAUUACAUGAACUUGUUUCCAUAGUAGUUUAUGAUUAUUAAAUUGCUAGAGCUAGGAUUAAUCAAAUCUUAUAUUCGGUAAUAAAGGUAACAACUUUAGCUAUGUUAGAGAACAUAAUUUGAUCAUAAUUGUGUUUAAUUAAUUGUCUUGAUCAUAGAUAAUUAUCUUAGAUAUACCUUAUGUAGCCAAAUUAUAUUUAAUAAUCAAUUUUGUGUUUGUUUGUGUAUGAUCAUUACAUAGUAGUUCAUGAAUUGGUGAAAAUAUUAGCAGAUCGGAUCAAGACUGCUAAUUACAUUAAUAUUGGUAAUCUACUAAAUAAAUCCAUGAUUAAGAACUAACUAUAUGAAAAAAGGGGAUUCGAAGCUAAGUGGAAGUAGCUUAUUAAUCUUGUUUACAAUCAUUUUUAGCUGAGAAACUGAUUAACUUAAGUUAAUCUAAACUUCCAAAAUCAGAUAAAUCCCUUUUUAGUUAUUGUUUUUAGAUUAAUUUUUAGUAGUUAAAUUAUUAGCUAAAUCUGUUUCCUGUGUUCGAUACCCAACUUAUUUUACUAUACUAAAAGUUGACUAGAUACACUACCUAUAGGUGCAUUAGUAGAUAAGUAGUUAGGUUUAUAAGUUUAAAACUAUAGAGGCAUAUCUUUUGCACAUCAUUGCAUCUCAACACUGCUUAUCAUCCGCAGACGGGCAGUCAGAGUGAACGGACCAUUCAGACACUUGAGGACAUGUUGAGAGCUUAUGUAAUAGAUUUUGGUGGGAGUUGGGACUCUUGCCUUCCCUUAGCUGAGUUUUCGUAAAACAAUAGCUAUCAUUCUAAUAUCAGUGUGCCGCCUUUCGAGUUUCUCUAUGGGAGGAAGUGUCGUACCCCGGUUUGUUGGGGAAAGGUUGGUUAUAGAGUCAUGGGAAGGUUUAAGUGUGACAACCCGAAACUUCUAACCCAUGUAAUUGAUUUAGCACUAAAACUUGAGUUCAUUGUCUUUUAUUAAAUCUUGUGGUUUCAUAUGGGUGCUCUAGACUUAGUAUAAUCUAGAUAUGAGUCUUAGGAAGGGUUGGAGAGUGUUUAGUAUCACAAUAUCGGGCCAAGCUCACUAAAUAAGGUGUGUGCGGCCACACACCUGUGUGUACGGCCACACACCCAACCGCAAACACUCUCAACCUCACAGCCAAUUCAAUUUAUGGAUGGAUACCCCCCUUCAUUCAUUCAUUUUGAUGUUCUCUUCCCUCUCUCUACUUUCUCUCUCUAAAUCAUCAACCAAGAACACUUGGAAGGCUUCAUAAUAGUGAUCCACUCCAUCUUCAAGCUAAGUAUAGUGGUAAACACUUGAAUCCCAAGCUUAAAACUCAUUAUGUUCAUCAUAUUCAUCAUUCCAUGAAGGUGUACGGCCGCACACCUUCAUAAGGGGGCAGCACACAUUCAAAACUCGCAAGUAUGAAGAGCAUACACUUCGAAAAUCAACAUAUGGACUCAAAUGAGGAGUGUACGGCCGCACACUCCUGUGUACGGCCGCACACACCCUCUGUACGGCUGCACACUCUUGUGUGCUGCCUCACACACACUCCUGGCCGCACUCCCCAGCCGCACACUCAUUUUCAAGACCAUACACCCACUCUAAUACCCAUAUUUGGCCCUAAACUUGCAUAAAUCAUUAAGUUUGGAUCAUAGGACACUUAUUCUUAGUAAUUCCAAGCCCUAAGGAUGUUUUCCCAACAUGUUUAGUCAUGAAACACCUUAGUUCUAACUCAUUUAUGUGUCGUCUCAUGAAAAAUAGGGGCCAUAGGAGUUCAGGGCAUCCGUUGACACUCGAACUCUACAUUAAGCAGUGANAACCCCUACCCUUUUUCACUGUUUUCAGGGGGAACACAAUCAAAGUACAAGGGAUUACUUGUACUCAAAACUUGUUUUCGUGUGUGUGUUUCACAUUUUAUAUGCUUUUAACACUGAUUGAUACAACUGAUAACCGUUUGAACAUGCAGAUCACGUAAACAUAUAUUUGUGAAAUGGACUUUAAGCUGUUAUGUUUUAUAUAUAUUUCACAAAUGGUUUUCCACAUUUUAUCAGUUAAAAGCAUGACAUUAGAACCAUUAAAACAUAAAACUUGUACACUGUAUAUCCUCGGUAACACUCCACAAAGAUACGCGAGUGGAGGAUUAUCAUAUUAUUACUAGUAAAUUUGUUAGUCCUAUAUGAUUGGAGACACGUCCUCGGCGAACACUCCACAGAGAUACACGAGUGGAGGACUGCACCCGUAACCAGAAUCUUUGGGAUUAGAGAGCGUGACUUGAGUGUAUAGAUCUAUACGGGGCUGACUACCCCACACCUGGCUGCUAGCUACAGCCGAACCGAAAUGGUUCAAGGGUGACGAAAGUCAUAAGGUGAUGUGGACUACUUAUUGCCAUAUCUAGUCUAUCGUAUGGUUAUGGAACUCGCAAUUAGGAUAACAGAGAUUUACUUAAUAGUAANAUAAUAAUGAAUAAUUUAACACAUUUCAUAAGAUAACCAGGCUUCAGAAUACAUCUUUUACAUUGGAAACCAACAUUCAGGAAAGUAUGGGACUUUCCUGGGGAAAAAUUGAACAUAACCACAUUUUACAGAAUACAUCUUUUACAUUGAUAACCAACAUACAGGAAAGUAUGGGACUUUCGUGGGGGAAACGUAUACAUAUCUAGAAAAGUGUAACAAAACCGGAUAACUUUAUAUCUUUCACAAUUGGUAACACAGAAUCAGGAAAGUAUGGGACUUUCCUGGGAAUACAAUGGUACAUAACCAGAACAGUAUAAGAAACCAGAUAACAUAACUGUACAUUUUCACAAGAGUAAACGUGUUUUCAGUGUACAACUUCACUUUACUUUACAUAUUGUGAAACAAUAACCAAACCUUUUUAAGAAAAUAUGGGAUUUUCUUGGUGUGUGUAACAAUUUCAGAAACAAAAAGGAAACUCGAACAUUUUCACAAAACAAAAACCGCUUAUGAACUCACCAGCGUUAUGCUGAUUUUCAAAACCGCUUGUGUUCUCAGGUCAACGUUAGAACAGGUACCCGAAGAUCCUUUUGUCCAAAGAUGGAGUGCGCAGAAGACCUGUUUCAUUUUGUUUAUAUAUAUAUAUAUAUAUAUAUAUAUAUAUAUAUAUAUAUAUACUAUGUAUUACAACUGUACAAAUUUGCUUUUGAAACAAUUGCAAAACUUUUCAAUAUGUAAUGUAAUGGUUGUUUUACUUUACUUACUAUGUGCAUCAGGUUUGAUACUCAACGUGGAUUCAACCCCGGAAAUGUUUCCGCCUUCGGUUUUUGGGGUGUGACACUAAGGUAGUCCUUCAGAUGACAUAACAUAUUCAAUAGAUUAGAUAGAAACUUCAGGCAGCUCGGAGUCAGCAAAAGAGUUAUGCCGACAAGCGUCAAUCCGAGCUGGAGUUCCAGGUCAGGAAUAUGGUCUUGCUGAAGGUAUCACCCUGGAAGGGUGUAAUACGCUUCAGGAAGAAGGGAAAGUUUGGGCCCUGGUAUAUUGGGCCAUUUCGGGUGAUAUCCAGGGUUAGGUAGCGUAUAAAUUGGAUUUUCUUGAGGAGCUUAGCCAAAUCCAAAACACCUUCCAUGUUUCACAGCUUCAGAAGUGUGUGGCUGAAGAUUCUGUGGUUGUUCCUUUGGAGGAUGUUCGGGUUGAUGAUCGCCUGAAUUAUGUGGAGAGAUCAGUGAUGAUCUUGGAUCGGAAGAUGAAGGCCUUGCGCUUUUUAUAGUAAAGGUGCAGUGGCAGCACCAAAAUGGUUCUGAAUGCAUAUGGGAACCCGAGACAGAGAUGCGAGAGUACUACCCUGAGUUGUAAGCAACAGUUGACUUCGAGGACGAAGUCUAGUUCAAGUGGGGGAGAAUUGUAACAUCCUAAUUAUGCGGUAAUUCCAAAUUUUAACCCUAAGUAUAAAGUGUUGGAUAAGGUGUCAAAGUCCGUAACUAUAUUUGGUAUGAACUUGACCCGACCCGGCAUGGUCCAUUUGGGUUGCACUUCACCUAACAAUUUGUAUGGAUAUAUUUUUGAGAAUAAGAUGUUUAUGAUCCAUUAAUAUAUUAUUAGUUAUAAUAUAUUAAUAUUAUUUAAUAAGUGUUGAUCAAGAAUUAACUUUGGAAUUAAUUUAGCGAUCAAAAGAGGCUAAUUAAAUAUGGACUCUUGCAUAUAUAUGGAUUAGGCUAAGAUUUAUUUAGNUAUAUAUAUAUAUAUGGAUUGGGCUAAAAUUUAUUUAGGAUGGGCUAAGAGUAUAUGGAUGUCCAUGGAUAGUCCAUGGAGCUUUUAACCCAUGGAUCCUAGGUUAAUGAAGAGCCAUGCGUAUUAGGGUGUAACCCUAAUCCUCUAUAGUAUAUAAAGAGGUCCUUGGUUCUAGAAUUGGCACUAGUGUUUGUGAGAAACAAGGGUGGGCCGAUUUUAGCAAGCAUUAGAGUCUCUGAAGUACUUCCAAGUUGUUUUGGGUGAUUUGUGACACCACUUGAGGCAUCUACACUAUUGGUUCUAGGAUCUAAAACUCCAAGCAUUCAACCACAAAAGAAAGGUAUGUUAUUGUACUUAAACUUUUGUAUUACAAGUACCCCAUAACAUGCUAGUUAGGUUUUAAACCUUCGAAAUCAAAUUUGCAUGUAUUUUAGAGAAAACAUAGAUCCAAGGUUUUUAGUAGCCAAAAUUUUGAUACUAAAAGUAUAACACCAUGUUUAUUUAAUAAAAUAAAUAUGUAAAUUAAUGAAUGACUUGUGUUAUAAUUAUAUAGCAAGGUGUUGGCUUUGGGAAUCCAAAUGCCAAAAGUUGAAUUAUUCGGGGUCAAAGUAUAAAUUUGAGAAUUAUUUUGUAAAGAUUUUAGAAGACAGGGGGGUGUUUGGUAAGUAUUAGACCUAAUAUGAAAGGAUUUAUGAAAACAAGGGCUAAAGAGUUAAUCAUGGACCUUAUUUGAAAAUGAUUGUAGAGGAGGGGCUACAUGGUAAUUAUUAGGACUUAAAUUGAAGGGUUUUUGGUUGGUUGGGGUUAAAAAGGUAAAAUUCGGACUUCAUUUGUAAAGGAUUCAGGAGAUAGGGUCCAAAUGGUAAAUUUUGGAUCAUGGUUGAAAAGAAGUUUAUGGAGAGGGACUGAUCUUGACAUUUUGGCAAUAAAAUUGAAGGGCAUGGGUAUAAAACCUUAGCAUGUGUCGGUUGCCACUAAACCCUAACCCUAACUAAGAAUGCAGUCGUCACCCACCCUUAUGCCUCCCAUUUUCUUCCCACCGCCGCAGCCUCCUAGUCACCGAUGAAGCCAGUCUCCGGAGUCCAUCCUUUCUACGGCGGAAAAGAGCACGACGAUCGGAGGGUAAUUGCCAUCGUGAACCACUGUGAACCUCCAACAUCCAUCAAUGUCCAUGACGCUAUUCCCUUGCCGGUGAUGUUGUGUACUACUACAAGGACCACUGUAUCCUUCUUCUUCUAUCUUCUUCUUUGUUUCAUCGAUGCUACGACCAUCGUUGUUGUCGUCCCUCCGUGUCUCUUUCUUACUCUGCCUGCCACCGCUGCUUUAUCUCGUCACCAUCAGCCACCAUCGGUGGUGGCUGUGAGUUCGUGUGGCUGUUAGCUUGCUAUCAUCGGAAACGAGCUCCUGAAGGCCACCCUUCGUUGUAUGCUACUACCUACCGCCGUCAAGACCGCCGCUGCCACCUUUCCAUGGUGCUGCCAUCGCCAACCGCCACCAGGAGGGUGGUUGGACUCAUUGCAAGAAAGAUAUCAUACGGGUGUUUGUUAUUUCAUGUAGGUGGUGUUGGUUUGGCCGAAAUCUACGAGAACAGCCACCACCACCACCGUGAGGUGGUGGCUGCCACCAUGCGCCACCAUCGGCCACCAUUAGGUAGUUGCAUAUGUGUGUCUUUUAUUGUGUUUAGGGUGUUUAAUUUCGAGUGAAAUCCAUGUAAAAUGUAAUCAGAAAUUGGAUUAAUGAAAAGAAAACAAAAACCACCACCGGUUGAAAGAUACCGAGGGGGAGGUUAGCUCCCGGUUACCGGUUGAAAGAUAUCGAAGGGGAGGUUAGUUCCCGAGUACCGGUUAAAAGAUACCGAAGCAGAGCUCAGCUUCCAGUUAUGCCAGAUAGAUACCGGUUGAAAGAUACCGAGGGAUAGGCAUUAUGUGGUAUGUGGUAUGAUGAGGGAACUCACUAAGGUUCGUGCUUACGGUUUACAGUUUUGGUUUCAAGUACUCGUUUUCAAAGGAAAGGAGUCGGCUUGAUCGCAGCGCAUCACACUAUGGUUUUCCGCAAAUGAGAUCUUUGGGGAUUACACUUUGAUAUUGUUUUAUGAUAACAUGUUUUGAUUAUUUCUACUUUGGAUUUUAACAACACAUGAUAUUAUGGAUGUUUUCUUAUACUGUUGGUCUAUAAUAACUUAUCUAAAAAUGAAAUUUUUGGUCUUAAAUUUAGGGAUGUUACAAAAAGUUUAAUUAUUAUUAUUAUUAUUAGUAUUAUUAUUAUUAUUAUUAUUAUUAUUAUUAUUAUUAUUAUUACUAUUACUAUUAUUAUUAUUAUUAUUAUUAUUAUUAUUAUUAUUAUUAUUAAUGUCUAUUAUUAUUAUUAUUAUUAUUAUUAAUGUUAUUAUUAUUUAUAUUAUUAUUAAUAUGAAUANCUGCCUAUAAAAUGGCAGUUUAAUGGGUGUCCACUCGCACCCACUGCUUCCUUGACUGUUGGAGGGUCGUUAGCCGAACGGGUAGUAUAGGACCUUAAUCCUCAUUAAAAGUAUAAUGAAAUUAUAAAGUAACUAAACCUUUAUUAAUUCCCAAUCUUAGUUAUGUUAGGAAAAUGUGAAAUAGGUGCUAACCCAUGAAAUUACACUUUGUACCUUACCAAGUCGUUAGUGGAGCGUGUGUGGUUAACCCGCACACUAACAAGGACUAGUAAGAGUGGCAAAGGGUGACUUAAGUUUUAUGAUAGAUCGAUGGAGCACAUGUGGUUAACCGGCACAUCGAUUGGUGAUAAAAUUAAGGGUACCAAGUCAAUUAGCAUGGUUAUUCACACCUUGUUUGUGAUCCUCGGCAUCCCAGUCACAAACUUGAGAGGGCACAAUUGAGAUUUAAACAUGCUAUUGAAAUUUCAAUGUAUCUCAAAAGAUCUUGGAGUUUCAAAUCUAAUUAAAACUUAAUAAUUUAUUUUGUUUAUAAUGGUGGAAAUUGGUAAAUCAUCAUUCACCUACCUUCAAAUAUUUUAUAGCUUGGAUUACGACAUCCCUCUUCCAAGUUAUGAAAUAGUCUGUAGGAUCCUAGCCCUAAUAUUUCAUUUGGGUGACUUAUUAAGGACUUCUUAUCUAAUUAAAAUUUGUCUUUCUUUUCUUUCAGAUGUCUCCCAAUACUGCUGCUGGCUCAAGCCCUACAGGCUCCUUUUUCCCUCAUGAACUUGUGUAGGAAGGUCACUUUUGAUGGUUCUAAUUUCAAUGAAUGGAUUAGGAACAUCAGAAUGAUUACCCGCUAUGAGGAUAAGGAAUAUGUACUUGACAGGGAGCUUAAGGUUAUCAAUGAGUCCACUGUUACUCCUGAGGAGAUUGCGGAGUAUGCUACACAUGAGAGGGAUGCUACUAAAGUGUCGUGCAUUAUGUUGGCUACUAUGACUGCCGAACUCCAAAAAUCCUAUGAAGAUUUCUACCCCUAUGAGACGCACCUGGAUCUGAUGGAAAGGUACCAUCAUAGUGCGUGUCAAAAGAGGUAUGAAAUCAUCUCCUCCAUGAUAACAGCCAGGAUGAAGGAUGGUAGACCCGUCACCGGUCACUUGCAGAAAAUGAAAAGGUUCUCGGACCGGUUGAUGAAGCUUAAUGUGGACUUCCCUGAGGACAUGCAAAGGAUAUCAUUCUCCAUUCCUUACCUCCAAGUUAUGAUCAGUUUCGUAUGACUUAUCAUAUUAACAAGGAGGAAGCUACACUCAGCAAACUUCAGGGACUUUUAAGGACCGCUGAAAGUGGCGUUAAAGGUAAAUUGGUUGUUACUUCUACUCCUACUCCUACAACAGCCCCUAUUCUGGCAAUUGGGCAGGGAAAGGGGAAGAAGAGGAAGACCCCUUCGAAGGUUCCAUUCCUCCUUCUUCAAACCCAAAGGAAGCACAAUGCUUCUACUACCACGAAAAGGGGCACUGGAAGCGAAGCUGCCCUAACUACGUGCAGGAUGUAAAGGAUGGGAAAGUCAAACCCACCCAUGCAGGUAUUUAUACCAUAUUGUCUAAAAACUCAUUGCAUACUAACUCUGGCUAUUCGAUACAGGUUUUGGUAUUCACAUUUGUACUGAUUUGCAGGGCCUAAGAAGUAGUGAAGAAGUGGAGCACGAGAAGAUAAACUUCUUCAUGGGCAAGGAUUCACCUUUUCAUUUGAUAAUAAAAUUGGUGCUAUUGAUGCUUUUUAUAAUGGUGUGUUUUAUUUUAAAGCAUUACCUUGUAAUGGUGUAUACGAAACUGUGUCGAUUGUAGACAACUUAGGGAAUAAUGUAUUUCAUAUUGAUUCUUCGAUUACCUUGGAUAAAGCAUCCUUGUGGCAUUGUCGUCUUGGAAAUGUCAACAAGAAGCGCAUAGGCCAACUCCAAAAGGCCGGAGUUAUGGAAUCAUUUGACCUAAAAUCAGAUGAUAGUUGCGAGUGUUGUUUACUUAGAAAAAUGACGAAGUCACCCUUCACUGGUUCUUAUGAGAAGGGUGAAGGUUUCUUGGACCUCAUACACACAGAUGUGUGUGGAACCUUCAAAACCGCCACAAGGGAUGCUAAUCGCUUUUAUGUGACUUUUAUUGAUGAUUACAGUAGAGUUUCUUAGUAUUGAUCUCCUUGACUAUCUUAAGGAAUGUGGGAUUGUAUCACAAUUGACACCUCUUAGGACACCACAGCUGAAUGGUGUGGCUGAGAGGCGCAAUCGAACCUUGUUGGAUACGGUUCAUUCCAUGAUGAGUCGAGCUUCGUUACCAAUCUCAUUCUGGGGGUAUGCCUUCGAGACUGUCGCCCAUAUCCUUAAUCUAGUCCCUACAAAGAAGGUUGCCAAAACACCUCAUGAGAUGUGGACAGGAAAAGUUCCCAAUCUGGACCACAUGAAGAUUUGGGGUUGCGAGGCUUUCAUGAGGCGCAAGUCUCACGACAAGCUCGAACCUCGAAAUGAGAGAUGUAUUUUCAUCGGCUACCAAUAGAAAUCCUUUGGUUACCUCUUCUAUAGACCAGUGAGAAUGUGGUCUUUAUUGCAAGAAGAGGAGUCUUUCGUGAGAGAGAAUUUAUAAGCCAAGGAGAUAGUGGGAGGCAAAUUGACCUUGAAGAGCUUCAAGAGUCAAGUGGUGAAGGAACCUCAAACACUAGCGACCAACCUGAGGAGGAAACUCCUGUUGAGCCGAUAGAUGAGUUCGUACCUCCGAGGCGUUCCACUAGAGUUAGGAGCACACCUAACAUUUAUUACGGUUAUCACAUCACUACUGAAGGUGAUACAUUUAUCAGUGAUAGUACACUGAUAGAUUUGAAUGAACCUAAUAUUUAAUUACAAGGAAGCCAUGGCAGGCUCGAGUCUGCUAAAUGGAAGGAGGCUAUGGACACGAGAUUCAGUCCAUGUAUGACAAUCAAGUUUGGAACUUGGUUGACAAUGUACUAGGUCGUAAGACAGUUGAGUGCAAAUGGAUCUUCAAGAAAAAGACCGGCAUGGAUGGGAAGGUGCACACUUACAAAGCGCGACUGGUGACGAAGGGCUUUACUCAGACUCCAGGAGUUGACUAUGUUGAGACCUUCUCACUGGUAGCAAAGAUUAAAUCUAUUAGGGUUCUGCUAGCCAUAGCUACAUUUCAUGAUUAUGAAAUAUGGCAAAUGGAUGUCAAAACUACUUUCCUUAAUGGAAACUUGACUGAGGAUGUUUACAUGGCUCAACCGGAGGAUUUCGUCGAUGCAGAGUUCCCUAAUAGGGUGUAUAAGCUUGAGAAAACCAUUUAUGGAUUGAAACAAGCAUCUCGCAAAUGGAAUCUUUGCUUCGAUGAGAAAGUCAAAGAGUUUGGUUUUUCGAGGAGCGAGGAUGAGUCAUGUGUAUAUGUUAGGGCUAGUGGGAGUAUAGUUAGUUUUUUGGUACUGUAUGUGGAUGACAUACUACUCAUAGGAAAUGUCAACCCAACUUUACAGGAGGUUAAGUCCUGGCUUGGGAAGUGUUUCGCUAUGAAGGACCUUGGAGAAGCUACCUAUAUCCCAUGGAUAAGGAUACUGAGAGACAGGAGUAAAAGACUAAUUGGACUUAGUCAAAGUACCUACUUGGAUAAAGUGUUUAAAAGGUUCAACAUGGAGAAUUCCAAGAAAGGAGACUUACCAAUCCAUCACAAUGCUAGACUGAGUAAAAGUCAGAGUCCGAGUACAGAGGUUGAGAUAGCAGAGAUGAGUCGAUUACCAUAUGAUUCCGUUGUUGGCUCGAUCAUGUAUGUUAUGACUUGUACUCACUCUGAUGUGGCCUUUGCUUUAAGCAUGGUCAGCAGAUAUCAGGGAAACCCUAGCAAGGCUCACUGGACUGCAAUAAAGAACAUUCUCAAGUAUCUACGGAGGACUAAGGAUUAGGUUCUUACCCUCGGAGGGAGUUAUGACUUGAGAGUAGCAGGGUAUAGUGAUGCUAGCUUUCAGACUGAUAGGGAUAAUUUCUGCUCUUAGUCGGGUUGGGUUUUUACCCUAAAUGGAGGAGCAAUUACUUGGAAAAGUUCCAAGUAGGAGAUAGUAGUUGAUUCUACUUGUGAAUCAGAGUACAUAGCAGCAAGUGAAGCGGCAAAGGAGGUAAUAUGACUGAAGAACUUCAUUGGAGACCUUGGAGUUGUACCAGCUAUACAUGAGCCUAUGGAAAUUUUUUGCGACAGCAAUAAUGUGGUUGUCUUAGCCAAUGAGCCAAGAGAUCAUGGUAGAUCCAGACACAUUGACAGAAAAUAUCAUUUCACAAGACACAAGAUAGAAAAAGGACUCCUCGUGGCAAAGAGGGUAUCGUCAGAAGAGAACCCAACAGAUCCCCACACGUAGGGACUGACUAGGGUUAGGCAUUAGCAGCAUGUGAGAAGCAUCGAGCUGAGAGACGACAUUAGUUUUAAUAAUUAGAUAGCUAUUUCUGAAACUUAUAAAAUGUAAUUAACAUUUAAUGAUUAAAUUAAAGUUGUUAUUUAUUUAUGAGUAAAGUGUUACUAUCCUAUGUUGAUCGUUUACUAUUGUUUUAAUUUUGCAUGUUUUGACUUCCAGAAUAAUUGUUUUAUUCAAACUCUCCACAGUUGGUCGUACGUUGGAAAUAGGUAUUGAAUUAAGACUUUCAUGAAUCUGGCUUGUAAGAUUUGUCUAAGGUGCAUUAGACAUAGCAAUGGUUGCUACAACAUUCAUGAGUGAUCAUAAGUUCUGAGUAUUGGAUUAAACCCACACUCACUUUUAUCACUUCAUGGAAUUUAUCUCGAGUGAUCGUGAGAUGGUAAUAUCAUAUAUAUCUUCAAACCUAGAGAUAUGAUCCGUUGACUAUGAGUUGGUUAUCCAUUAAUUGUACGAAAAUGCAUCAGUAACUUGAUGUCAUAAAACGUGCUUUUGUGCAUAAUUCAACUGGUAGUUAGUACAAGCAUAUGAGUCGAAGUUUAUCUGUUCCUUCUAGCAAUAGAAGCGAUAUAUGGGCCCCUCGAUAAUUUUGUUUCGACUUAUGUGUCGGGCCCGGUCAAAACCUAAUUGAUGUGUUCAGUUUAGUUCUAUGUCAAACAAAUCAGAGAUCGAGAAACAACUGUUGGACAAUAAGUACGACAUUGUUCCAUGUAUUUGUCCGGCUGAUAUCUUGAGAACACAGGAUUAUAUGAUCACUUAUCUAAACUGGCACUUCAUAGUUCAAUAGAGUUUUAAAAGAGUUGUGAUUGAUGGUUGGUUCCUGAAGUUGUACUUGCAACUAUAGAAAUCAGACUUAUCCAAGUGGGAAACUAUUGGAUAAGGUAUCUAAGUAUGUAACUAUAGUUGGUAUGAACUUGACCCGACCCAGCAUGGUCCAUUUGGGUUGAACUUCACCUAACAAUUUGUAUGGAUAUAUUUUUGAGAAUAAGAUGUUUAUGAUCCAUUAAUAUAUUAUUAGUUAUAAUAUAUUAAUAUUAUUUAAUAAGUGUUGAUCAAGAAUUAAUUUUGGAAUUAAUUUAGUGAUCAAAAAAGGCUAAUUAAACAUGGACUCUUGCAUAUAUAUGUUGGGUUUUGAGGAUUCUAACACUCCUAAGUGUACAUGCAACCCUAAAUACCUUGGAUUUAUUUUUUCUCUAUUAUACAUGCAAAUAUGAACUUUCCAAGGUAUUCAUCCUAACUAGCAUAAUAAUCAUUGAUUCAUAUGAAUAUAUCAAGUUAGAAUUACAUACCUCUUUGAUGUAGAUUGUCUUCAUGAAGCUUGAGUGCCUAGUGCCCCAAGUGUGACACCUCAAAUGGUUCACACAACACCAAAUAUACAUGGAAUGACUUGAGAGAACAUACACACUUCAUGAAAUCGGCUAGCCCUUUCUAUUACUCAUAGUGGCCGAUUUUCUCCAAGAAUAAGAUCAUUAUAUAGUUAGGGUUACACCAUGUAAACCCUAAUUGUCAUGGCCUUUCAUUUCCAUGAUCCAUGGGUACAAAUACACCAUGGAGCAUCUUAUGGGUUUUAGCCCAACUUGACAAUCCAUGGAGGAUUAGCCCACUAUAUAAGUAUGGAUGAUUUACACAAUCAACCCAUAUAUUUAAUUAGUCUUCUUUUGAUCACUUAAUUAAUCCUAGAUUAAUUCUUGAUCAAUACUAAUUAAAUAAUCUUAUUAAUAUAUUAGAACUUAUAAUAUAUUAACCAACCUUAAGUGUUAUUUCUCUCAUUAUAGUCUAUCCAAAUGCAUGAUGCCAUGCAACCCAAAUGGACCAUGCCAGGUCGGGUCAAGUCUCACCAAUUAUAGUUAUGGACUUAGACAUUAAUCCAACAGUCUCCCACUUGGAUAAGUCUAAAACUAUUAUUGCGUAUGACUUCAAGAACCGACUGGCAAUCGUAUCUCUCAAAAGCUUCUGUCGAACUCUGACCUUGCCGGUGAACUCUGACCCUUGCCAAUGACUUGUCCAUUAGAUAAGGGAUCAUAUAUUCCUCUAUUCUAGAUAUCAUAUGGACUAAUACAUGGAUUAUAAUCAUUCUCUCUGUCCAUUUGUUGUUUCCCGAUUUCCGAUUUAUGACGACUAACUAAUUGAAGAAAUCAAAUCAGUCCAAGCCCGGUCGAGCACUUACAUUUGUCAUCACCAAAUCAUCGAGGGGCCCACAGACAUCGCUUUUAUCCCGAAGGUAAAAGGAAUGGAUAAACUUCGACUCAUAUGGCUUGUUCUACUACUUGUUGAAUCAUACACAAAGGCACGUUUUAUAGCACCGAGUUACCAAAUGCGUUUUCGUGCAAUCAAUGUACUAUCAACUCAUAGUAACAACUCAUAUCUCUAGGUUUGAAGAAUAUAAGAUAUUAUCGUCUCAUGAUCACUCGUGAUAAAAUCCAUGAAGUGAUUCCAAUGAGCGCGGGUUGAAUCCAAUACUCAGAACUUAUGAGCACUCAUGAGUGUUGUAGCCCUUUGUCCAACACCUUAGACCUCUACAAGCCAACCCAUGACAGUCUUAAUUCAUAUCUACUUCCAACAUAUGACCGACUGUGGAUGGUUUGAAUAACUUAGUCAUUCCGGAAGAAUAACCUAGUUUAUUCGGGAAGUCAAAACAUGCAAAGUGAAACACAAUAAUAAUUGAAUCCAAUAUGGUAUCAAAACCUAUGAACAUAAAUAAAACACCUUUUAUUUAUCACCAUAUGAUUACACAUUAUUCAUUGUAUACUGUUUCAGCUAUCAACUUUAUUCUUGAAUUUAAAACAAUAGUUGUCCCAUGCUCCAAGCAUGUACACUAUGUUUUCUAAACACUAGUCAUGCCAUACACCAAGUAUGCAUAUUAUGUGUCACACCCCAAAACCAUGAACGGCGGAAACGUUCUGGGGUGGAGGAUGUCAUGUACAGUAUCACAACAAUGAAUACUAGUAAACAAGCAACAACAUCAUCCAUUGCAUUAAUAAUAUAAUUUCAUACAAGUGUGUUCUGUCAAGUUAUAUAGACACCAAAAUAUACAUAUCAAAAUAAAAGACGAGUCUUGAACAAACUCCAUCUUCUCAAAACCUGGCACCUGUACCUGUCUACUGGUGACCUGAGAAUACAAGUUAUUUUGAAAGCAAGUAUCAGCUUUAAAGCUGGUGAGAUCAUAAGUAUAUUAGUGUCUGUGUUUGUAUGAAAGCAUUUGCAAAAUGUUCAAAAGAUGUUUUGUAAGGUGUUUUGUACUCUCCUAGAAAACCCUAUGGUUUCUACUAAUUGUAGCCUUCUACCAAGGCAUCUAGUGUCUGUGCAUGUGUCUCUUGUAAGAGUGUGUGUGUUUUCCCAAUUCUGACUAUCAUUAACCAAAAAUAUAGUUUUUACAUUACCGUGCAUCGUGUGAAUAUUCACGAAGUGAAUGUAAUGGGAAAAUAUCAUAGUACCGUAGUAUUUGUAAUAAGUGACUAUUGUUGUACUAACUACCUUAAAAACAAAAGGUGUUUAAAGUAACAUGUGAUCGACCUGUAUCCUACUACCGACUCUAGUAAAACGACGGUGUAAGACGUCGUAGGAAAUGACAUUUGGCACCCGUAGACUUGCAAGUCCCACUGUAGCGAGCAGCAAGGUGUAGGAUAGUCAAUCCAGUAUAGAUCUAUACGAAAACUCAUACACUCCCCAAUAAAGGAGAUUUUGGAAACAAAAAUGGUCAUGGCAGGUAGUUCCAUGCCCCGUUUAACGGCUCACAUUACUGCAUGGAUGUACAUGUAAUGAAUGUGCUAACUGUAAAGUGUACUCUUUCUCUGUCUAGCCUGUAUGUACUGUAAUGUUCUGCGUGUGCUAGCUGUAAUGUGUGUUCUCUCUCUAUCUAGCAUGUAUAUUAAUGUACUAUGUGUACUACUCGUACUGACUCAUUGUAUGUUUCAUUGUACUAGUAAUAGUAUUAUUAUCUUCCUGUGCUACCCCUAUGGUAGCUUACUAGUAUUGUAUGAUCAUGUUUGUGAAGCACUUGCUACCCAAAGGUAUGGAACUGGUUGAAAAAACUUUUAUGUCUAUAUAUGUAUACAUAAUAUAUAACUAAUAUUUAGAUGACCUUUGGACGGAUAAGCGAUGCCCUAAAGCCACAUCCCAACGAGGAAAAGGAGAUAAAGCGAGUUGGCCUUCCUAAGCCCUUUAAACAUUGCUUAUAUAAAUAUACAUACAUAGGCAUGCAUUUGAUAAUAAGUAUAAAAGAGUUUAAGUAAAAGUAUUUGACAAGUAAAAGAGUUUGUAAAAUAGUUUGAAGCAAAAUAGUUUGGUAAACAACUUGAACAGUAAGCAAACUAUUGGUUUGGUAGUUAUUAAUCACAUGUGAUUGAUAUAAUAACUAUAAGUAUUCAACUUGUAUUCCNCCCCCCCAUAAAAGCAUUUAAAAACACUUAAAUCAUUGAUUAAGGGGUAUGAACUCACUUGUAGUGAAUGGUUUGGAUGCACAGAUUGUAUAGGAUGCUAAGUGUCAAGGGAAGACUUGAACACACAUGCGGAUCCUAUUUAACAUAUAUGACACAUAUAUGAAUACAAUUAGUGUUUAAAACAAGUAAUUAUUGAAUUGGGACCACCUUAGGGACUAGUAAACACUUAUAUUGAAGUGUUACAACCAUAAGUGAUUGUAUAUAAGGGGUAUUUGGCUACACAAGGGAGUGUAUGGCCAAUACACACACUAUAAGUGUGUGUGCGGCCAGGAGACGUGUGCGGCCAGUAUGUGCGGCCAGUGUGUGUGUGAGGCCGUACACACAUAGUGUUCUUGGUGUUCUUGGUGUUCCUGGUGUUCUUGGCUAAAGAUGCUACCUUUUAUGAAGAUACUCAAGGAGAUUUGGAUGAUACUUGAGAGGAUUUCGGGUCCUAGCUUUGAAUAAGUGUAGAAUGUGUUCAAAAAAGACUAAGUCUUGAAUAUAUAGGGGGCGUGUGUGCGGUUGGUAUGGGUGUGUGGCCGCACACUCUUGUGUGCCGCCGCACACACCUUGUGUUGGUGUGAUUGGCUCAAAUGCAAGGCGAUACACCCAUAAUACUUAUCCCAGGACUCCUACCCUGCUUAUACUAGGCUUUAAACACUCUAUUUGUCUCCAAACAGUGCUAGAAAAUAGCAAGAAAACGAGUUUAACUUUGAUAAGAAUUGAAGAAUGUAAUCUAGAAAUUUUCGGGUCGUCACACUAUGUUUGUCUAUGAUCUUUACUUUGUGAAAGAGAUCAAUUGAACAUAACUCCAAUGAUCCUCUUUUCACAGUCCCAAAUCCUUACUGCAAAUGCAAGAAUUCUAAAUUCAUGCCAUUUACUGAAAUCUGUUAGAUUCUAAACUUAUAUGCAUUGAUCCUCUUGUAAUGAUUAUGCACAAAGUCAGAAAGACUUGACAACAACCAUUACAGAGCAUUCCAAAGGAGAUCAGCUCCUUUGAAACAUCCUUCUUGCAUUAAGUUUCCUAAUCUUACACAGAUUGAAUAAUUUCUAACUUUGAAACAUUUCCAUAUUCCAUUUUGACUAUCACUUCUGAACAAGAGUUGCCUCCUUACAGAUUAUGUCAAUAUGGUCCUUCCAGAGUUAACAUUAUACUUCCAACUGUCCUUGAGCAACCAAUCUUUGGUAAACCUUAGAUUGUCCUCGACAAUUGUUUAAUCCUUUUAGUCAUAUCCAGUUCUAAACCUUUUCCCUUCUUAAUGCCCCAGGCAUUUGGAAAAUUUUAGAACGGAUGAAUAUAGCACAUGUAAUCGAUCCUAUAUCCGAAGCAUAUGGGACACGAUUCAUGAUGUCUCACAUAAAGACUAAACCAGUCUUUUGCUAUAACAUUUCCAUUUCAAUUUGCCAAGUUCUCAUAAUUCAGAUUAUGAAAAGGGAUGCCGUAAUCAUAAUCGAAUUUUAGAACGCAAAUAGUGGACCCAUAUAUUAUAAUUUUUUUAUGUUGAUCCAUUCCAACAUAACAUUCAUAUAUAUACUUGACUAAAUAUGAUUAAAACCUCAAUCUAAGCUUUUAGAUUUGAGAUGAAGUAUAAUUUCCUCUCCCUUAAUUAUAGCAAAACAACUUUUUUUUCAAUUGAAACCUUUUUUUACUAUAAUUAACAUUGCUAACUUGCAACCUUUAUCAUAAUUUCAUGCUCCCACUAACAUGAUGAUUAUUAGCAUAACACUUAUGCUCCCACUAGCUUUGACAUGUACUCAGAAAUCAGCUGACUUUCUUACCAAAGUUCAGAUUUCUGAUACUAGAUUGUUUUGAUAAAACUUUAUCAAAAUCAUACACCUUCCCUUAGAUAGCACACUUGUGUGUCUAAACAAUUAUGAAGAGGGAUGCCGUAAUCAUAAUGGUUAGACCUUUUUUCCACUUCUCACAAGUCCAGGUUAGUGUGCCGGUAAACUACACACGCUCCACUAACGACUUUGAGAAUGCAAAUACCACAAUUGCUAUCUAGCUA